RNAcentral lists this long non-coding RNA (55002 nucleotides) under Eucalyptus grandis. RNAcentral's name for it is "long non-coding RNA (EGRA_LNC004474)". Lineage: Eukaryota; Viridiplantae; Streptophyta; Magnoliopsida; Myrtales; Myrtaceae. The record is from RNAcentral.
GCUAAUUUAAAAACCAAAGACAUUUGACAAACUCACAGUCAUCAGGAAAUCCAAGGUCCUUGCCUUGCUUAUAACAAUUGUUGGUUGGAUAAUCAACCUUGCGCUCCAAAACCAGUUGACAAAAAGGUAAGCAUUUACUGGUGACACACUCAUCCAAAUGCCGUCCUCCUAACCGUAAGGUCUUGCAUGGCCUUUACAUACAGAAGACGGACUAAAAUUUAAGAAUACUGCAAUCACCGAGACAGAAAUGCUGAGCACAGGCAUUCAAUCAUUUCCAAUACAGUUUUACACCUCUCUAGCCAAUAGAAACGACUAUAUAACACAGAUAAAUGAACGAAGUAGGAAAUUCACAAACUCACAGCAAAGGCGACAAUAGCGGAGGAAAGGGCGAGGAACCCGUACUUUGCCAUCCCCUCGGAGAUCCCGACGAAGGUGUUAGCAAUCCCAAACAUGAUCCUCCACAACAAGGCGCACACCAACACAGCCACGGCCCCCACGAGGACCAAGUAAUUGCUCCUCAAGAACGACUCCACUUGCAGCCCAAUGGCCUCCCGGUAUUUGCUAAACGUAGAAAGAACCGACAUUGUCGGCUUCUCGAAAAUCUUCUUCGCGAAACCCCCAUUCCCGGAGCUUUGAAACGAGAAAUGCCUGACCCCAUAGCAAUUCAAUCUCAACGGACCGAGUCCCGCCGGCGAGAAGCUCUUGGACGAAGCUUGGCCCGCCCUAGGAGGGAGCACCUCGGACGCGGCGAGAUUACCGAACGCUCUAGACUGGCACGAAUUCCGCGCGGUGCCGGCGGCCGAGCUCGACGGAUAGGAGAGACGAAACGGGCGGGGGAGAGAAGAAGGAGGGAGCGAGGAGCCGGCGGCGGCGGCGGCGGCGGCGGCGGCGGGGGCGGGAUCGACGGCCGCGGUGGCGAAGUGGGAGGAGGAAUACGCGCCGGCGGGGGACGAUUUCGGGAGGUGGAGCUGGUGGUGAUGGCGAUGCAAUCUCAGAACGCCUUGGAGCAAUCGCGAGGAGGGCUUUGACAUCGUAGUAGGCGAUUUGUACGGAAUCGGAGCUCGAACGCCGCUGCUUCGAUGCAGAAUUGAAGGACGCGAGUUUCGCCGGAGACUUGCGGGAUCGGAGGAAAGGAAAGGAGGGUAGUUGACGCGAGGGAAGUGCUCCUCCCGGAGGCAAGCCGGAGCGCAGUCGAUAGCUUGUGAUGUUGUACGGUGCAGUCAGCGGCGAGGGAAGACGACGACGACCAUUCUUUGAUCUCGUCUUCUACGGUUCGAACUUGGGUUUGGGCCGGAAGAGGCCCAAGCCCAAGUUUGAAUUCUAAAGCACCCAAAAUAGGGGUCGCUAUUUCAACUUUCGCAUAGAUUUUAUCUACAAUUUAUAAUCUACCAAUUGUAACAAGUUUCUCAUUUUUUUGAACCUGAAAUCCAUCCUGUCAUAGAUUCCACAAUUUACUCACGUUUCACCUUUAUCAUAAAUCAAAUGAUUUCAAUGAAUAAUCAUUUUUAAUGAUUUACACUUACUAUUAAUGCACUAAUCACGAUUUAUUUUUAAACACGUUAAUAAUAUAAACCAUUAAUAAAGUAAAAGUCUUGAUCAUAAUAUGGAAGCUCAAACUAGUAGUUCCAUAUUAUAUACUCAUCAUCGGAUGUUAUGGAACAUCACAAAAUUGUGUGGAAACAUAAACUAAGAAAAACACAAAUUUAUUCAAUUUUUUUGAAUUUGAAAUCUACCUUACAUAUUUUGAAAUUUGGAACCGGACAAGUUCCUUUGUUAUUUUUCUUUGUGUGAACCCAAGAAGCGAGUUCUGGCAGUUCAUGAGACCUCCGCAUGCCAACAGCUACAAGCUCAAUGUAUAUGCAAGUUUUUGGCAAAAACACUAGAAGCACCGGUUUCAAAAAGCGAUAGGAAAGCAAAGCCCUUCCUUCCAAUCCAAGCGUCCUGCUUAGAUGAGAACCUGAUAUGUUAGAAGUUCAAAAGUGCAUCAGAGUGACAGAGAGAAGGUCAUCAACCAUGAAUCGAGGAGUCUGGCUCCUCACACUAGCGCACGCUUUGAUUUCACGCGAUUUGUUUGCAUGGAUGGAAAGAUUGACGCACCCCGCGAGGUGAAGUCAAUUGACAAGUAUGACGAAGAAGGGACGAGGCCACAAAUAGAUCAGAAACCAGCAGCUCCAACGUUGCAUUUAUGGUCUAAAAGCUUGAAUCUAGUAGCUCCUCCGAUGCUUAAUCCCAUUUCGUGGAUAGGUGAAUUAGAACUGCUACAAGGGCAUGGUGAUCGCAAAUUUGCCGGUUCAAACAUGACAGGAAAUUGAGGAUAGACAUAGCCUCAUUGCCUUAUUAGCAAACGUGAGUGAACACAAAAUUGGAGUUAAUCUAUCUAGUUUCGAAUCCAUUUGCCUACUUCCCUACUUGUCCCCUCAUGAUCCAAGAGUUGGAGGCCUGUCGUUGUUGAGGCCCAUUUAAAUCUAUCCGUACCAGCACUCAUUAACAGGGAAGAGACGUCAAGUAGAAAUCAUAUUUUGGCUGAAAAGAGAGAGAGAGAGAGAGAGAGAGAGAGAGAGAGAGAGAGAGAGAGAGAGAGCAAAAAGCAAAGUUCAGCCCGAAAGAUACAAUAGAAAGAGUGGUGUUUUGAGAAAUAGACCCCGUUGAAUGCUAAUUACAUUAUAUGAAGAAGCAAACUCAUGGAAGGGAAGAGUUGAAUCCGAGCACAAGUUCUAAACAAACCCAAAAUGAAAAACUAAAGGCAAAGAAAGAGAGCACAACAUUGCUCAUUUCUUACACGCUUCUUGACAAUCUCAGUCUCUUCAACUUGGCUACCUUCACUACUAUAGCCACAUGUGCCUUGUGUGCUGCUUGAUCCGCAAAGCCGAAAUAUGCUUGUCUCCAAUCCUUCUUGAACUGCAAAACUCCGAAAAAGCCCCAGAACCCAAUCGUAAAUCCAAGCAUUAUGACCGCAUAGAACAACGUCCGAUCAAGCUUAUCCUCUUCAUGUGUAUCUUUAGGGCGAGGGACUUUCUGUGGUUGAGGCGUCUCGGCACUGAAGCAUUUCUUUCUCAAAAGAUCACCACAGAGUAGGGGAUUGCCAGCAUAAAUGGAAGGAUCGUCGAGUGUUUGGAUUUGAUUCCCUUUUGGAAUCUGCCCCAUAAGGUCAUUUUGCGAAAGGUUGAGGUGAGCUAGGGAUGUUAAGGCUGAAAUGCCCUGUGGAAUUAUCCCUGAGAGAUGGUUGUUUGAAAGAUCCAGAGACUCGAGCGACCUCAUAUUCCCAAUGCCAAUGGGAAUAUCUCCAGAGAGAUGGUUAUGAGACAAGUUCAAGCCAUGCAAUCCUGAGAGGAAAGAAAGUUCUUCGGGGAUUGACUCGUUCAAAAAGUUGCUAGAGAGAUCCAAAUUGACCACAAGUUGCAGAACAAUUUUGGUGUACUCGUUAUAUCUUCCCUUUAAGAUCUCAACCACGUGCUCUUGACCCCAAAGCAUACCGUAGCCUUCGAAUGACAAGAAAAUUAUAUCUUGUAUAUGAGUGACAGCCACGGAUCCAAAUGAAUUGGUUUGAUUCAAGUUGAUCAUGCCGCUCAUGUUGCCAAGACAACGUGGGAUCAUUCCCGUCAAAUUGUUCACUGCCAUAUCUAAUAUUUUCAAUUUUGAUAGUGAACAGAGCUGUGGAGGGAUAUUGCCGACAAACCUAUUCUCUCGUAGCCUCAAGAUCAACAAGGAGUGAAAGCUUCCGUCAAACCAUGUGGGAAUGCUUCCAGACAAAUUAUUCUCUCCAAGGUCUAAAAUUACUAGACUUGUGCAAUAAUAUAAAGCUUGAGGAAGCUCCCCAUUGAGACGGUUUCUGUUCAAGUGUAGGGUGGUAAGGCGGGGCAAUGAUCCAAGUGAGCUAGGGAUUACUCCGGACAAUUUAUUGAAUGACAAAGUCAAGAAUAAUAAAGAAUCCUUCCAACAGUCUGGAAUACUACCAGAUAGGCUAUUAUUGGCAAGAUUUAAAACAAUCAACUCCAUGUCGCAUAAUGAUGACGGUAGAGUACCACUGAUUAGGUUGUCAUUGAGAUACAGAGUACGUACCUGGUACAUAAUACCAAUAUCUGUUGGAAGAGAACUGGAGAUCAAGUUGUGUGAGAGAUCUAAAUAGGAACAAUCAGUAGAUAUGUUGGGCAAGGGGCCAGUAAUCUGAUUGUAAGAUAGAUCAAGCCAGGAAGACGUCAAGUUGGUUGACAAUUUUGGCAAGGUCCCAGUAAUCUGAUUGUAAGAUAGAUCGAGUCCAAAUAAUGUCAAAUAUGCUGACCAUUCUGGCAAGGGCCCGAUAAUCUGAUUGUGAGAUAGAUCAAGAAUAUGAAUGUAAGAUUGAUCUGAUAUUGCUAGUAUAAACACCUAGAGGGGGGGUGAAUAGGCGCACAAACAAUUUUUCUCAAAUACGGAAGCAACAGAUUGAAAUACGAUCGAUGUAGAGAGAGAAGAGAAAAUCAAACACAGGAUUUAUAGUGGUUCGGCUUAUUCCAAGCUUACGUCCACUCUUCCGCACUGACAGCCCACCGGCUGGAUUUUACUAUGAUCAAAAGAGAAGAUACAGCACAGCUUUGCCUUGAUUCCACAGUGUAGAUGUUCUAUCACACCUCCUCAAGGUCUCUCACAAAUAUAGACUCUCUUUUGUAUACAAGUAUUCGCUCAAGAGAUUUAUCUAAACAAAUAGGAGCUUCAAACUUUGGAAUUCUUCUAUUACGCACACUCUUUAAACAACUAAGAACGUCUUCCUUAUAUACUCCUUUAUGCCAUCAUACCCGUUGGCACUUUCCAAAGGAAUUCCUCCAAUCAAUCCGUUGGACGGAAUCAAUUAGGAAGAUCGUUCGAGCUAUUAAAGGAACGUGUUGAUAGCCCAUCAAUCCUGUUCGCCCAUACAAUCAGGAUCUCGAUUUCCAUAAGUAGAACCUUCCAAUAAUAUUUAGACAAUCAUCGAAUCUUCAGUCAUUGAAUCAAUCUUGAUCAAUCAAAGGAUUCUGAUACGUCUUCUCCAGCCACGAGAUCUUCUCCAGAUGAUAAGGUUAAAUCCUGAACAAAACAUCCAGUUCGGGAUAACCUUUCUUCAACGGAUCAAUGACUGUCAAUGAGGAUAGACUUUGAGUCUUGAGUUUGGCUGUCCGGAAGUCUGCAGACUUUAAACCAACAGAGUCUGCUGACCUUCAGACUAGAUUGACGGAAACAUUUUGUCAACUUCAAAACUCUUCACGAGGAUUUCUCCAACAUGAUCGAGUUUGAAAAACAUCAAGUUGGCUGGCCAUUCUGGUAAGGGCCCAGUAAUUUGAUUGUAAGAUAGAUUGAGCUCGAAAAACGUCAAGUUGGCUGGCCAUUCUGGCAAGGGCCCCGGAAUCUGAUUGUAAGAUAGAUCAAGCUCGGAAGACGUCAAGUAGGCUGGCCAUUCUGGCAAGGGCCCCGUAAUCUGAUUGUAAGAUAGAUCGAGCUUGGAAGACGUCAAGUUGGCUGGCCAUUCUGGCAAGGGCCCCGUAAUCUGAUUGUAAGAUAUAUCGAGCUCGGAAGACGUCAAGUUGGCUGGCCAUUCUAGCAAGGGCCUCGUAAUUUGAUUGUAAGAUAGAUCGAGCUCGGAAGACGUCAAGUUGGCUGGCCAUUUUGGCAAGGGCCCCGUAAUCUGAUUGUAAGAUAGAUCGAGUUGAGAAAACGUCACGUUGGUUGGCCAUUUUGGCAAGGGCCCAGUACUAUGAUUGUAAGACAGAUCGAGCUCGGAAGACGUCAAAUUGGCUGACCAUUUUGGCAAGGGCCCAGUAAUCUGAUUGUAAGAUAGAUUGAGCUGAGAAAACAUCACGUUGGCUAGCCAUUCUGGCAAGGGCCCAGUAAUAUGAUUGUAAGCUAGAUCAAGCUCGAAAAACGUCAAGUUGGCUAGCCAUUCUGGCAAGGGCCUAAUAAUCUGAUUGUAAGAUAGAUCGAGCUUGGAAAAUGUCAAGUUGGCUAACCAACUCGGUAAGGGCCCAAAAAGGGAAGCAUUGGAGAGUGUGAUAUAUGUGGCGUUCACUUGUGUCUGAAUCCAUUGGGGAACUUUAGCUUCGAAUUUACAAGAGUUCAUCCUGAUAAACACUAGUUGGAAAGGGGGUAUCCAGUUGGGUUUUACCUUAAAACUCAAAUUAUUAUUGUUAUCGAUCUGCAAAUCCUUGAGCCUUGACAAAUUAGAAAAAUGGAUUUCAGUAAUCACACCUUCUAAAUGAUUACUGUAAAGAAGCAACUCUUGCAAAGCCCCCAAUUUCCCUAAUGACUUAGGAAUAUGCCCCCCCAAUUGAUUGCUAGAAAGAUCUAACGAUCUCAAUGAUGAUAAUCGACCUAUAAAUGGUGGAAUGGUCCCAUUCAAUCCAUUAGCCGAAAGAUCUAGUGUUUCCAAGUUUGACAAUGAUCCAAUGACACUAGGGAUUGGACCGGAGAAGAAAUUGUAGGAAAGCAUGAUACUUUUUAAGUUUGUGAAGUGCUCCAACCAGUUGGGCAGAGCACCCUUAAGAUGACUUGAACAUAUCUCUAGAUUCUCUAAGCUAUUCUCGAUGAGUCCCGAUGAAUUUCCUUGGGUUGUCGAAAUCUCUUCUCCAAUUUCGUUAUAAUUCAAACACAAUGACUUGAGAUACCGCAUAUUCUUUAAGAAUGAGAAUAACCCUCCUUCAAUGCUCUCAAAAAAUUUUUCCUUGAGAUUGAGAUGAGCGAGGCUUGCAAACUUGUCAAACCACAUGGAAAUUAAUGAGUUGAAAGAGUUAUAUGAAAGAUCAAGAUGCUGAAGAGAAGUCAUGUUUUGAAACAAAGUGUUCGGGAUGGGACCUUCAAAAAGAUUAUUCGAAAGAUCGAGGUAUUGAAGAUGAACGAGAGAAGUAGAAUUGGCCUAGUGAUUAGAAAACAAAUGAAAAUUUUGUAAUUCACAGCCUGAUAAACUCAAAUGCGAUAAAUUUGGGAGCGUGUUGAUCACCUGCAUGAGGACUCUUUCAUUCGAAAUCAUUGAGCCACUCAUGUCGAGGUACUUUAAUGAUUGAAGAUGAGAAACCCACAAGAUAUCAUCUACAACCAACUUUUUUUUUUCACAACCGAGAUCGAGGACUUCCAACUUGGUGAGAUUUCCCAAUUGUUGGGGAACUGUUCCAUGGAAGUUGGCAAAAGAUAGAUUGAGGUACCUCAAUCGUUUAAUUGAACCGAUGAAUUUAGGUAUUCUUCCAUGAUUGAAAUUGAUCCCGCUUAAGUCCAAGUGGUUCAAAUAUCUCAAGUGGAGCAAAGAAGAGUUCAACUCACCCCCAACUAGGAGAAGCAUCGGUCCCAUGGGACUAGUUUCAUCUUUUGUUGGUUGGGGCAAUAAUUGGAGAUCGAUGACAUGACCAUAUACUCCAUCACAAAUCACUCCUUCCCAUUUGCAGCAAUCUUUGUCUUCCCAUGAAGAGCUAGAUGGAUCAACGAGGCUUUGUCGGAGCUGGAGCAGAGCCUCUCUUUCUUGCUCUCUGCAAAUGGACAUUGAAUUGUUACAAAAGCACACACAUGAAUUAUCUAAAAUAAGUAAUAGAGUCACUAGUGUGAACACUUGGGAACAAUAUCUGCCCAUGAGCAAUGAGAGAGAGGAUGAAAUCAUGUUUUAGAGUGGAGAUUUUGAGGGUCCUCUAAUCAAACCCAAAUCAUUUAAGGGGGAGAUUUCUCUUUUAAUGUACAUGCACCUUAUGCCCAUGCAUGUAUAUCAUGUAUAUGCAACGAAUUUAAGGUCCACAUAUGAUAGUCGUUGUCGGGGAGAAAAGGCUCAUCUGUUCUUGUAGUUGGAGUUUGUAAAUUGAUGAUCAGAUCCCAUCUAGACGAGGUGUCCCUGUCAACCUGGAAGCAAGAGCAAUGCCAUUACGGAGAUUACGGACAAGCCCGUCCAGUAUUUUGCAGUGCCAGUCUUGGAUAAAGUCAAGUCUUUUGGGUCUUUGUCGUUAUUCAUAUUAACUUAUUAAGGUCAUUUCUCGAUCUACAUUGCGAGUUUCCAAAGACACCGUUUGUUUUACGUUUUUAUCUUAACUAGAUUACUGACUCUAGAAUAACGAGGCUAACUAGUCUUCUUGCUCAUAAGGAUGAUGGUAAUGUACCAUUCAUCGGGAUUUCACGGAAACACAAUAGAAGAGGUAAAGAGAUUUAAGCUGUUGGAGAGAUCUUCAUCGAAACUGCCAAAAAGGUACAUACAUUGGGUAAGGGCGUGGUAAUUUAAGUGUGAGACAAAUCAAGCCACAAAGUUCACAUGUUGGCUGACCAUAUAGGCGAAGCCUCCAAAAUGGAGGCAUUGUAGAGAGAGAAACCAUGGUCCUCCAUUUGCGUUAGCAUCCACUGUGGAAAUGUCGAUCCAACUGGAAUUUGCCCCAGAAGUCGGGUAGUUAUUGCUAAAAUCCAAAUAGUACAGGCUAGACCUAGUUUAUGUGGAAUGUGGAUCGCUUGGGCAUAGGGAGCAAAAUAUAGGAGCACGGAACGUCAUUCGUGCCAAACGACAGGGUUAGACUUCUUUUAAUCAUGUAAUUAGUAUCAGACAUGAUUUUGCAGUUACAACAAAGAUAAUACAGGCAGUAUAAUGUGUUUCUAACGUAUCAUGUUUAAACAAGAAUUAUUAUUUUAAAUUAUGUUUUCAAUUACAAAAAACAUCAGCAUGAAAAAUAUAUCUCAAAUAAAUAAUAAAGAGUAGUGUAUUGGAAUGUCUGAAAUGCUCAUUUUAGUAUAUGGAUAUGUUCUCAUCUCAGAGGAUACUCUGUGCACCCAAGAUUUACGUGCCGUGUGAGAGACGAAUGCAUAGAUCUAGCAUAUUGAAUAAUUGCCGUGAGAGAGGUGAAUGCAUACAUGUUCCUUUCAAUUAAAGUUCAUGAAAAUGAAAGUUCGUGCAUAACUCCAAGUCAAGUCAAUGUUUUCCACUUUUUAAAGUUCAUGAAAAUGAAAAUCCACCAAUAACUCCAAGUUGAAGUCAACGUUUAUGACAUUUCGGAAUAAUAACUUACUUCAGCUUUAGAGCUGGUCCAAUAUUCUUGUUUAUUUCUGCUUUUGCGAUGCAGUAAGUCUAGUAGAAUGGUAGUCAGGCCUCACACAAUUAGUAUCAUAGCUGGAAAAAGUUGAAAUCGGGAAGUCACAAGAAAUUCCGACGGACUACACUUAUUUCUUUUUUCCAUAAGUAAAUAUCAUGUAUUCACAAAACUCCAGCAAAUGAGGGAGGACGAACUAUUUUAUUACCCUAGGCACUUAUGCAAAAGCUUCAUUCUUUCCCCUUUUUUGUUAAAAAAGAUUAAAUCCAGAUAUACGAGACUUUUUCAAUUACAUGUAAUUAACGAAUUAGUCACUCAAGAAAUAAAAGCAAGUCACAAGAACUUUUAGACUUUCUACUCAACAAAUAAAGAGCUUUUAGAAAUUCCGACGGACUANNNNNNNNNNNNNNNNNNNNNNNNNNNNNNNNNNNNNNNNNNNNNNNNNNNNNNNNNNNNNNNNNNNNNNNNNNNNNNNNNNNNNNNNNNNNNNNNNNNNGCGCUUCAAUAGUUUUGCAUCAAGAGUAGAAAGGAUUGGCAUCAACUGUUUCAUUUGAUAAUGGACAUGAACAUUGUUGGAUCCUCGCUCAAGCGGUUCCACCCUGAGCUUCUCAUUGUUAAGAAGGUGCAUUCGGUAUUGGUACCUUGGACAGGAAGCUUUUGAAUAAAACAUGUUCCUCGGAGAGAGAGAGAGAGAGAGAGAGAGAGAGAGAGAGAGAGAGAGAGAGAGAGAGAGAGAGAGAGAGAGAGAGAGAGAGAGAGAUGCAUUGGCACUUCAACAACACAAAUAUAUAUGCUUUUUUACAAACACGUAGAAUGGCCUCUACAGCAGGCUCAUGCUUAUCCUUCUUCCUCUCAUCGCUAAGCAUGACUGAAUCAACUCAAUUAAGCUUUCUCCUGGCUCUGCUUCCUAUUAGUGUCAAAAUAUGUCUUGAGCUUGUAAGAGAAAGUCUAAAUUCAUAUAAGAGAUUUUCUAUUUGGGAAUUCGAUGGACAAAUAAACAAUAAAUUUAAAAACCUAAAAGUAAACUCCAAGUUGGAUUAAGUUUCAAAACAAAUUAGGGAUAUCAACUUUCCAAAUUUGGGUUGGACUCGGCAAGGCCUAGAGUUCCACGUUUAAUAUAUAAAAUAAGCAAAUCUCUUUUGGGAGUUAGCCUUGUUGAUUCGCCGUUUAUGGAGUGUUCCCGGGUCCGUGGAAUUCUCAUACCGUUGUUGGAGAAUAAUUCGUGAAUUAAGUCUCAUUAAGUUGGUGUUCAAGCCAUGAAAUCAUGCGGUAAGAUCUGGAUUUUUUUUUGGCGAUAUUAAGAAAUAUUUCGCUUGUGAAGAAUAAACAUUAUUGAGUUUAAUUAGGGACAAAAAAAUACUAAAAGUAUUUGAAUUACUCGAAUGUAAUUAUAAUCUCCAUUGUGUUACUUGAUUUAUAGUGAGAUCUCGCGACCUAUGGAAUAGGUCGCACCAGCCAAUCUAUGCAAAUCAAGUGUCGCUUUUAUUUCAUUGUUUGAUCGCUUGUAGUUAGCAUACUCAAAUCAACAAUAUGCAAUUAUGAAACAGGUUCAAUACUUCUUGAUAAGACUCGGUUCACCAAUGUUGUCUUAAUUUUUUUUUUAAAAGUAAAACUAUUCAUUAUACAAUUUAAGUUUGACUGAGAGGGGAGCUUAAGAGCCCAACGACAGGCAUGAAAUUUUACUUUCUCUACAGUUAUCCAUCCAAAACUUGUCUUCCCUGAAGUGUGUCGCAUUCUUUGUUUCGCCCUGUUAAUUUUUUUUCUUUCUUCACGCACGUAGCUUCUAUAAUUAAAAGGCAAAGAUCAUUACAAAACAUACAUAAACUAAUGAGGAAAUUAAACUACACUUAUAAUUUAACAUGUCUGAUUAAAACGGCACAAAAAUUUUAAAGGAAAAUUGUCCAAAUUUUUUUAAAUCAUUACAUUUUUGCCAAUUCAGUCUAAACUUUUAAUUUGCUAGUUGAGUCCUAAACCUUUUAAUUUUUNNNNNNNNNNNNNNNNNNNNNNNNNNNNNNNNNNNNNNNNNNNNNNNNNNNNNNNNNNNNNNNNNNNNNNNNNNNNNNNNNNNNNNNNNNNNNNNNNNNNCCAAUGAUCUAAAUGUGACUAGCCAAGCCCCAGAGGUCAAAUUGGAAUUAAAAUGGCAAAUUGGGGCCAAAAUGCAAUUUCCAAAAGUUGAGGGACCAAUUCGCAAUUUUUGCAAAAUUUCACUCGAGCCCUUAAAUCAUCAUCUGGGCUCCCAAUUGAGUUAAAAUUGAACUUGGGUCAAGUCUAAUUAAUCGAAUCGGGCAAAAAAGGACCUAAUUGCAUUGUAUUUGGGAUUCUCGGGCAAGAAAAUGGCCAACUUUGAGGGACUUUCUUGCAAAAUUGGGUGGAGACAAUUGAGAAAAAUGGUCAAGAUCUUAAACUACUAUACAUGAGCUUGCUAAUUGAUAAAAAAUCGCAGCCAAAUUCAUGGAUUAAAGCACCUAAACCAGCUGACAAAUCCCAGUCCUCAAGUUGGUCUGAAGUCGGAGCUGCUGAGUAAGCAAAUUGGUGGCCCCACCAUAUCCUUCUUAGCUGUCCAACCGGCCUGAUAUUUGCACGUGAUGGAAGACCGUAAUGAGUAGUGCAAGUGGACGGAAAUUUGCCAGGGAUAAGUCGCUGAAAGCACAGGAAAGUCGCAGCAAAAUCGGGACACUCAACAUCUGCAAGAUUUGAAAAUUCUGGCUUAAGUCAGAAAGUGGGUGGAUAGCUCAGUUGGCAGGCUUGGUAGGUGGACAAAAAGCCGACCAAGAGAUUUAUGAAUCUGGGGGAUAAGAUCACGGAAGGGAGGUCUUUCGAGGGAGGAGAGAGAAGAGACGAAUGAGAGAGGAGAGAGCUCGGAGUCGAUGACCAAAGAAGCCCUCAGAAGCAACUCCAGAAAAGAGAAACCCAGAAAUUCCAGACCGACCUGGAGAGAGAAAAGUGAGAUUUUCACACACCGACGGCCAAAAUUAGCCAAAACCUUCAACUAGAGAGUGAAACUUCAUUCAAAUAUAUUUCCAACCAUAGGUCGCACGUCCCAAAUGGAGAUCGGGAAGGCCUCCUAAAGCCCCCCGAAACAGUGCCCUCCUGGCGGGCCAAGAAAGUCCGAAAAUUUUCGUAAGUGUUGAGACUGGUUGGUCACGAGUGAGGGAAAGCCAGUGUUUUUGAAAAGUUGAGAGAUAAAUGAGGAAAAUAUUGACUUUUACCCCAAACUAGAAUACAUAUGGGUUUGGCUUGGUAUCAAUUUUUCCAACAAAAUACAUCUUGAAGUCUAAUGUUAGAGGUCACGAAACUUCGUUGUCAGUUCUUUUUUUUUGCAGAUCUCAUUUCCAGUUGAAGAAGCCAACUUCCACGGGCCCCNNNNNNNNNNNNNNNNNNNNNNNNNNNNNNNNNNNNNNNNNNNNNNNNNNNNNNNNNNNNNNNNNNNNNNNNNNNNNNNNNNNNNNNNNNNNNNNNNNNNNNNNNNNNNNNNNNNNNNNNNNNNNNNNNNNNNNNNNNNNNNNNNNNNNNNNNNNNNNNNNNNNNNNNNNNNNNNNNNNNNNNNNNNNNNNNNNNNNNNNNNNNNNNNNNNNNNNNNNNNNNNNNNNNNNNNNNNNNNNNNNNNNNNNNNNNNNNNNNNNNNNNNNNNNNNNNNNNNNNNNNNNNNNNNNNNNNNNNNNNNNNNNNNNNNNNNNNNNNNNNNNNNNNNNNNNNNNNNNNNNNNNNNNNNNNNNNNNNNNNNNNNNNNNNNNNNNNNNNNNNNNNNNNNNNNNNNNNNNNNNNNNNNNNNNNNNNNNNNNNNNNNNNNNNNNNNNNNNNNNNNNNNNNNNNNNNNNNNNNNNNNNNNNNNNNNNNNNNNNNNNNNNNNNNNNNNNNNNNNNNNNNNNNNNNNNNNNNNNNNNNNNNNNNNNNNNNNNNNNNNNNNNNNNNNNNNNNNNNNNNNNNNNNNNNNNNNNNNNNNNNNNNNNNNNNNNNNNNNNNNNNNNNNNNNNNNNNNNNNNNNNNNNNNNNNNNNNNNNNNNNNNNNNNNNNNNNNNNNNNNNNNNNNNNNNNNNNNNNNNNNNNNNNNNNNNNNNNNNNNNNNNNNNNNNNNNNNNNNNNNNNNNNNNNNNNNNNNNNNNNNNNNNNNNNNNNNNNNNNNNNNNNNNNNNNNNNNNNNNNNNNNNNNNNNNNNNNNNNNNNNNNNNNNNNNNNNNNNNNNNNNNNNNNNNNNNNNNNNNNNNNNNNNNNNNNNNNNNNNNNNNNNNAAUUUAAUGCUAUUUUGGUAUUUUAUAACCAUUUUGUAAAUAAUCCAUUUGCGAAGAUUAAAACUAUUUAAAGUAAUUUCAUGCAUAUUUGAAUUCUCAUUUUGCUCAUGGGGGUCCUGUCCCAGGGCGUGAUAACAAGGCCAUGUAAUAUUAUUUGCCUAACUUGUAUCGGGUUUAUAUUUUCCGUGUUUAUUUUCAAGUCAUUUCAAUUUCUUGGAUGUUUACUUACGCGCCGCUUUUCAUUAAUUUGAGUGUAAAUUUCUCUUCCAAAUUAUGUUAGGAUUAGUCUAGACAUUAAAAAAAAACUACAAAAACAUUUGCAUGGACACUUAGUGGUUUCAUAAAGAUUAUAAUUGGUAAUCAAGAUUAUGUGGCCAUUUAGAUAAACAACCUUCUUAGUUAGUGGUACCGCAAGGGCGCUAAUAGAAACAUUGGCGUAAACAAGUCCUCGUUCCUAGAAAUCUCUGGUUGCGUAGGAAUCGAGACAACACUCCCGUGUCUUGAUUGGUUUCUAGCCGACCCCAAUAGGCUAGUGGCGACUCCUAGAAUUACAUAGGUUGUUAAGAACUAAAAUUCAAAAUCCAAUGUUGCGAGUGGUAUGGGCUUGGGAGAGCUCGCGCCUAAUUUAGGGCCAUUGGUCCACCUCUUUAGGCAAAUACCCCUAAACCUUCAUCUUUUCCCCCGGACGGAAAAAAAAGAGGUCGCGACACAUCCUAAUAAAAAAGAACUUAAUAAUGAUACAUUUCAUCAUUUAGAUUGAGCAAUAAAACAAAGACAAUGUAAUGUCUAUUGUAAGAUUAUUACGGUAAACUUAUAGAAANNNNNNNNNNNNNNNNNNNNNNNNNNNNNNNNNNNNNNNNNNNNNNNNNNNNNNNNNNNNNNNNNNNNNNNNNNNNNNNNNNNNNNNNNNNNNNNNNNNNUGCGACCAGCGAGGGUUAGCCUCGCCGACCUCAGGUGAGGUCGGCCCCGUGUCGGGAAUUAGCAUGGGCGGCCCUCGUUGGCCUCAGGCAAAGGUCAACACUUGCCAGAUGCUAGCGAGGGUUAGCCUUGUUAGCCUCACACGAGGUCACCCUCAUUGGGAUGUGGCGAGGGAGGACCUUGUGGACCUUGGAUGAGGCUCGUCCUCAUCGGAUUUGGUGAGGGCGAGCCUUGCUCAUAGCCAAAAAGGCUAACCCUCACCCUCACUUGAAGCACGUGAUGGUUGGCCUUGCUGGCAGUGAGCAAGGCUCACCCUCACCAAAUCCGGUGAGGGCAAGCCUUGCCCAAGGCCCGUGAGGUCGUCCCCUGCCAGAUCCCGACGAGGGUGACCUUGCACGAAGUUGGUGAGGGCAACCUCGUUUGAGGCCGGUGAGGCCGACCAUUACCAGUUGCAGCCUUUGGCUAGUCUCUGGAGGUUGUAACCAACAAAGAGAAAGAAGAGAGACAGAAAAAGAAAAGAAAAGAUAGGAAAAUUUUAAAAUUCAAUUUUUUUUUUUGUCAACAUUAGUGUUGGCCAUGUCACCUAGGACGACUAGUGUCCAAGUCAAUGAAUUCCAUCCAAAAUUGGCCGGAUAGACUCAAUUGGCAAAAAGUGAAAAUGUUUAUAACUCAAUUGGAAAAAUUGAAAAACUUAUGACUGAAUUGAUAAAAGUGCAAUAAGUUUAUGACUUUUUGGAUAAUUUUCCCACAUUUUAAUGUACUUGUCCUUCCUUCAAUUUUUGAAAUGUGUCGAGCCGGAAGAUUAUCCGAGUGAUUUGACAAUGAUGCCGAGCUAUAGUAGUGAGCAGCUUCUAAAUCUCUUUUCUAGUUUCUCCAUUUAGAGUUCAUGGAAUGCAAAUUGUAUUUUUCCAUUACUCGAAUUUCAAGGAUACUAAAACCCGGACUACAUUAAAAAAAACUGACCUAAAUAAAUUGAGAUGGGUCUAUGAUGCAUCGUCUAAGCUGGAGCAAAGCCUCUCUUUUUUGCUCUUUGCAAAUGGAAGUUGAGUUUUUAGAAAAGCAAACACAUGAAUUAUUUAGAAAGAGCAAUAGAGUUAUUUAGAAAGAGCAAUAGAGUUACUAGUGAAAGGACUUUAGAAAAAUAUCUCCCCAUGAGCAACGAGAGGUGGUCUCUCGGGCAAAGAACAAAUUUAUCCUUUAAAGAGUAGGGGUUAAAGGAUCCUCUAAUUAAACCCAUAUCAAUUAUAGAGAAGCAAAGUGGAGAUUUUUCUUUCAAUGUGACAAGUUGGGGUUUCAAACAUGCUCCUUAUGUGGAUGCAUGUGUGCCAUCUCGAAGGAUGUAUAUGCAGUACAAAGGUCCACGUAUCAUAAUCAUAGUCCAAGAAGAGAAGGCACAUCCGUUCUUGCAAUUGGAGUUUGUCAAUUGAUGAUUGGCCCCAUUCCAAGGAGAGAAUUCAACCUCUACAAAUUAAUCCAAGUCAAAAGCAGCUCUACUAAGGAGAAAGUGGAGAAUUAUAUUUAAUUUUUGCAGUGUUGGACACAGACUAAGUCAAGUCUUAUAAGAUAAUAAUUGUUUCUCUAUAUAAAUGGGUCCUUAUAACGGUACCAUUCAAUUCAAGUUAUGAUCAUUACUAAAUUAUCAAUUUUGAAAUAAACGAUCUUAAUUAGUGUUGUUGCUCGUGCAACGCACGAGAAUAUGUUGGCCAUUGCUUAAAAAGCAAGACAGUAGAAGACAGCAUCAAAAAAUAUAUUGUGAUUACUUUCACAACAUCACAAAUGUAAUUAUUUAUUAUUUAUUUCUGAAUUCUUCCCCCACAACACCUCUGUUAAACUUGAGCUUACUUUGCCCAUAAAAACUCUAGAGAAACGAUGAUUUUGACCUUUAAAAACAUAAACGGUUCAAUCUGCAAAAGAACUUUCUCUAUGUAGGCUUUUCUUUCAACAGAAUAAUAUAAUGAUUCUUUAGUUAUGCGUUUAGUGUUUCCCAUAGGUGUAAAUCACUAAACAAAUAGUGAUGGUAAUAAAGCAAGGGAUCAUUAGCGCAAUUCAUGUGCAGCAAGUGAAAGGGUCAUAGCACCAUUCCAACAUAUAAACCACACUAAGAAACUCAAAGCUAUCAAAAAAUAAAAUAAGAGAAAAAUCCUCCCAAGAAAAAACAAUCAGACCGCUUAUGUAUCUUAUUUUAUAAUAUGAAAAAAAAAGGUCUGACAACGAGUAGGGAUAAAUAUUGAAUAUCUCUUCUAAAAGCAUUUUAAAAAGAAGAAGAAAACAAACAGAAUCUAACCAACUAUGUUGUAAAGGAAAAUGUAGCAACAAGCUUUGGACGGAUAAUGAUAUGAGAAGGAUUGAGGAAUUCAAACUCAAUAAACAGUUCAAAUCUUCCAUUUACUCAAAACCCGUGUAACCGAUUGAUAAUGAGUUAUAAUGCAGUAACGUUUAUCAGAGAUAAAGCCUAGUUUAGAUUGGAGAACAGCAUGGUUGUUUUUUACCACGGAGAUCAAAGGUCACUAACGAAGGGGAAGAUAAGAGAAGCUAAGGAUCGUACUUUGCCAUCAAUUUCGAUACUCGUAGAUUGGAAUCAAUCAAAGAGGCAUUUGAGCUUAAAAAACACAGAAAAAUCAAGGUAAAAUAUAAACAUAAUCGAAGGAAGAAAACGCAGUCUUGGCAAGUUACUUCGACGAGUUUCUAGGAUAGAUGGGAUGAUCAUAAACUGAAACAUUCCUCGUUAAGGAAGCAAGUAGUUGCGCAGAAAACCCACGACCCGAUGUACUUUAGAAACCAACUUGUAAUCAAGUAAACUUAAGUAAUUUAAGAUGUUGGUAAGGUUAAAUUCAGAUUCUACACAGAGGCCGACAAUACAUGAGCUUCCAGGCAAACUCAUCUUGUGCAAACUUUGAGAACCGGGACCAUCCCCAUUUUCUAUUGGCAAAUCAGCGCCUUCGCCUUCGACUUUAUCUUUCUUGGUCAAAGGAAGGAAACAAACAACUUCAGGUUCAGGGGACAAGCAAAAUUCAGGCUUGCGGAUGGGUACUUAGAGAGACAAUAGAAGCAAAUAUUCAUAAAUGGAAUUAAAAAAGCUGCAAAAUUUCGGUUGAGAUUUCUGAUUUAAUUGGUAAAUUCCUAAUGUCGUUGCUAAAAAUAUGCGGAUGGGGCUGCAAAAUUUCUGUGUUGGCGUUACAUAGGCCAUGCUAAGUGGCUAUAUUGAAAACCUUAAAAUAAAAAGUAUCUCUAAAAAAUUUAGAAGAAAGAAAUUGAAAAAAAAGGAAGAGAAUUGGGAAUUUCGCAAAUCUAUAAUCUUUAACUCUUUUUCUUUUUGAAAUUUGGCGGAUUUAAUAUUAAAAUUUGCCUAAUUAAAAAAAAUAUCUCAUAAACCCUUGCUUUAGAUUUCUCAUCGCUUGUUUGAAAUUUUCAAAGCCCUCUUUUGGGCUUGAAACCUAGUUAUGUUCAAGUUAGAGUGUAAUGGUGGAGAGCACUCAUGCAUCUUUCACAAUGGAAGCGUAUCUUUCUAUACGUAGACAUCAUAUUGUGCAACAAAGUUGCAAACCUCACAGCAGACUAAUUUCCAAGUUGAAUUUAUUUUCUUGAAAAUUGAUUGAAUAAAAAUAAUAGAUUGAGCACCACAAUUUUACUAUAGAAUCAAAUCGAAUCCAAGUCACUUAUUAUCUUGACUUCAUUUCGGUCUCAAUUCGCCAUGCUAGAGUGGGAGAGAUCAAGCCACAAAAGCGAUCCGUUAGGCUCAACACCUGAGCAAAGCCCCAUACGUAGAAGCACUUGAGAGUUAUGACAUGGUCCUCCUCGUGUCUCCAUCCAUUGUGGAAAUGUUGCUCCAAAUGAUUCCAAGUUGGAAAAUGGGCCACUUGAGAUCUGCCUUAAAAGUCAAGUAAAUCGUCUCUAAUACUUCAAGGCUAGACCUAGGUUACCCGGCGUGUUGACUGGGAUGUGGAAUGAAAAAGGGAUUGUGAAACUGUUACUAGUAAAAAAUGUGGUACGAUAAAGGUGGACUUCUGUUGAGCAUGUGAUUAGGAUAAGACCUAAUUUUGUAGUUACAAUAUAGAUGAUAUAGGUCGUAUAAUGUGUUUCUAACAUAUUUGAGCCACUAAGUUUCAUGUUCACACAAGAAUUACUAUUUAUAAUUCAAUACAAAAAUAUUAUCAUGAAAUUAUAGUUUAGGUAAGUAAUAACGAUUAGUGUAUUAAAAUGUUCACAAUACUCAUUUUACUUUAUGGGUAUGUUCUCAUCUCAUAGGAUGUCUUGUGCAACCGAGGUCUAAGUGCCUUGUGGGAGACGUAUUCACGCAUCUAACAUAUUUAAUAAUAGUAGAGAAUCUAAUCUAUCGUUUUGGUUUUCAAUCAUAAUAAAAAGAGAAUUUACAUGUUCCUUUCUUCUCACAGGAUAUCCUAUGCAUUCUGAAUCUACAUGCCGUGUAAAAAACGAAUGCAUGCAUCUAGCAUAUCUAAUAAUAAUAAAAAAAUCUAAUCUACCGCUUUGGUUUUCAAUCACAAUAAAAAAAAUAGUUUACAUGUUCCUUUCAGUCAAAGUUCGCGAAAAUGAAAGUCCAUGAAUAACUUACAUGCCGAGUUUAGAAACUGUUGAUCACUUUUUAAAGUUCAUGAAAAUGAAAGUUCACAAAUAACUCUAAGUCAAAGUCAACAUCUAAGACUUUUCGAAUGAUGGUCACUUCCUUCAUCUUAAGAGCUACUCCGAUAUUCUUUUUAUUUUGGGAUAAGUGCAAAAAUUCUAAAACUUAUCAUGAAAAUACAAUUAAGUUUUAUGUCUACAAAAGUACAAUCAAGUUUAAGGGUGCGUUUGGGAAUGGCCAUAGGAAGGAGCUUUGAGUGUCCAAAACCCAUUUGGCCAAAUAUUGGGUGUUUGGUAAUAAUUUUGAAAGAUCAAGCCACAAAAGUGAUCUGUUAGGCUGAAUACAUGGGCAAAGCCUAAUAUAUGAAAGCACUUGAGAGAGUUAUGACAUGGUCCUCUUCUUGUGUCUCCAUCCAUUGUGGAAAUGUUGCUCUAAAUAAUUCCGAGUUGGGAAAUGGGCCACUUGGGAUCUGCCCUAAAAGUCAAGUAAAUUAUCGCUAAUACUUCAAGGCUAGACCUACGUUACCCGGCGUAUGGACUGGUAUGUGGAAUGAAAAAGGGAUUGCGGAACUGUUACUUGUCAAAAUGUGGUACGAUAAGGGUGGACUUCUGUUGAGCAUGUGAUUAGGAUAAGACUUAAUUUUGUAGUUACAAUAUAGAUAAUAUAGGUCGUAUAAUGUGCUUCUAACAUAUUUGAGUCACUAAGUUUCGUGUUCACACAAGAAUUACUAUUUUUAAUUCAAUACAAAAAUAUUAUCAUGAAAUUAUAGUUUAGGUAAGCAAUAACGAUUAGUGUAUUAAAAUGUUCACAAUGCUCAUUUUACUUUAUGGGUAUGUUCUCAUCUCAUAGGAUGUCCCGUGCGCCCAAGGUCUAAGUGCCUUGUGGGAGAUGAAUUCACGCAUCUAACAUAUUUAAUAAUAAUAGGGAAUCUAAUCUAUCGUUUUGGUUUUCGAUCAUAAUAAAAAGAGAGAUUACAUGUUCCUUUCUUCUCAUAGGAUAUCCUAUGCAUUUUGAAUGUACGUGCCAAGUAAUAAACGAAUGCAUGCAUCUAGCAUAUCUAAUAAUAAUAAAAAAAUCUAAUCCCUCGCUUCGGUUUUCAAUCACGAUAAAAAAAUAGUUUACAUGUUCCUUUCAAUCAAAGUUCAUUAAAAUGAAAGUCCAUGUAUAACUUAUAUGCCAAGUUCAGAAACUGUUGAUCACUUUUUAAAGUUCAUGAAAAUGAAAGUCCACAGAUAACUCUAAGUUGAAGUCAACGUUUAUGACUAUUUGAAUGAUCAUCACUUCCUUCAUCUUUAGAGCUACUCCAAUAUUCCUUUUAUUUUGGGAUAAGUGCGAUAAAAAUCUGAAAACUUGUCAUAAUAAUAUAAUUAAGUCUUAUGCUUACAAAAGUACAAUCAAGUUUAAGGGUGCAUUUGGGAAUGGCCAUGGUUGAGUAUCCAAAGCUCAUUUGGCCAAAUAUUGGGUAUUUGGUAAAAUUUUUGAAAGAUCAAGCCACAAAAGUGAUAUGUUAGGCUAAACACCUAGGAAAAGCCCCAUAUAUAGAAGCACUUAAGAGAGUUAUGAAAUGGUCCUCCUCUUGUGUCUCCAUCCAUUGUGGAAAUGUUGCUCCAAAUGAUUCCGAGUUGGAAAAUGGGCCACUUCGGAUCUGCCCUAAAAGUCAAGUAAAUUAUCGCUAAUACUUGAAGGCUAGACCUAGGUUACCCGACAUAUGGACCGAUAUGUGGAACGAAAAAGGUAUUGCGGAAUUGUUACUUGUCAAAAAUGUGGUACGAUAAGAGUGGACUUUUGUUGAGCAUGUGAUUAGGAAAAGAUUUAAUUUUGUAGUUACAAUAUAGAUAAUAUAGGUCGUAUAAUGUGUUUCUAACGUAUUUGAGUUACUAAAUUUCAUUUUCACACAAGAAUUAAUAUUUUUAAUGCAAUACAAAAGUAUUAUCAUGAAAUUACGGUUUAGGUAAGUAAUAACGAUUAGUGUAUUGAAAUAUUCACAAUGCUCAUUUUACUUUAUGGGUAUGCUCUCAUCUCAUAAGAUGUCCUUGGCACCCGAGGUCUAAGUGCCUUGUGGGAGACGAAUUCAUGCAUCUAACAUAUUUAAUAAUUGUAGGGAAUCUAAUAUAUCGUUUUGGUUUUCAAUCAUAAUAAAAAGAGAGAUUACAUGUUCCUUUCUUCUUAUAGGAUAUCCUAUGCAUUAUGAAUCUCCAUGUCGUGUAAAAAACGAAUGCAUGCAUCUAGCAUAUUUAAUAAUAAUAAAAAAUCUAAUCUAUCUUUUUUUUUUUUGGUAAGAAUCUAAUCUAUCUUUUUGAUUUUCAAUCAAAAUUUAUAUAUAAAAAAAGAGAGUUUACAUGUUCCUUUCAGUCAAAGUUCACAAAAAUGAAAGUCCAUGUAGUUCAGAAACUUUGAUCACUUUUUAAAGUUCAUGAAAAUGAAAGUCCACAGAUAACUCCAAGUGGAAGUCAACGUUUAUGACUUUUCGAAUGAUCAUCACUUCCUUCAUCUUUAGAGCUACUCCAAUAUUCUUUUUAUUUUGGGAUAAGUGCCAUAAAAAUUUGAAAACUUGUCAUGAUAAUACAAUUAAGUCUUAUGCUUACAAAAGUACAAUCAAGUUUAAGGGUGCAUUUGGGAAUGGCCAUGGGAAGGAGCUUUGAGUGUCCAAAGCCUAUUUGGCCAAAUAUUGGGUGCCUGGUUAAAUUAUUGAAACCCAUCUUGAGGGAAAGUUUGCCUUUAUAAAGGUGAAAGCCCAAGGUAGGUUCUAGGCUUUCUUGGGCUUUCAGCAUUCUCGAAAGGCCCUCUCUAGGGUUUAGUAUAUAAAUUUUGUUCCAAAACUAUCCUCACUCAAUUUUUAUCUUUCUGUUUUUGGCCUCGUGAUUCACUGUUCAUCUUAUUCUCCAUUGAGUCGGCUGGCUUGGUUGCGUGUGGCUGCGAUGGGUUAGCGAUAGGCUAGAGAGAGGUUGAUGUGGUCACGACUAUCCUAGCGAUUGUCACCUGCUAGUUGCAUGACCUCUAUGAGUUGCGGUGACCCCUUGCAAAUCGUGUUGUCAUGACCCAAAUCUAGUGCGUCACUUUUAUGAAGGGCCGCUUGAGGUCAUGCGACCAAGCAGACCUUGCCGAGGUCGCNNNNNNNNNNNNNNNNNNNNNNNNNNNNNNNNNNNNNNNNNNNNNNNNNNNNNNNNNNNNNNNNNNNNNNNNNNNNNNNNNNNNNNNNNNNNNNNNNNNNCAAAUCUAGAUCUCAUGGCCUUCGUGAAGGUCGCUUGAGGUCGCGUGACUAGUCGACCUUCGUUGAGGUUGCGUGACCCUAGGCGACCCUCGCCGAUCGUCUCUUGGGGCUGCCUAAGGUCUUAUAACCUUAGAUGUCGGCUGCCAAUAACAAAUUUCAAUCACCGGCAACCCCUUGCCCUUGCUGGCCAACUUUUUUAUUUUUCUUUUGACGAUUUUUUUUAAUUACAAAUGUCAUUUGUAAAUAUAAUCUCUCCAAAUAUUAUCUUACUUAAAGGUACUUCACAAUGGACUUUUAGAUUACAAUUUAACAAAUACAAUUUACAUUUUGAAAAACAUUUUUAACUUAAAGUCCUUCACAUUUUCUCAAAGACUUUCCCCAAAAGUCCAACGACACAUCCUAAAACUUAUCAACUUUAUGUAAUCAAGUCAUUCAGUUAAUUUCGGCCAAUUUGGCUAAUGAAAAAUGUUGGCGUGACUUCUUUUUGAUAUUUCCUAUCUCAUAAGUGGUGACGACAUGAUUAAAAUAUAAAACAUAAUGCUAAAAUGAUGUCAAACUGAUUUUUAAUACAAAUUUCAUUUAUAUUAAAUUAAAAAUAAGCUAAAUUGAAAUCCUAAUUCUGCUAGCCGCCACGCCAUGAACGUCGUCCCAUCCUUGUUCCACGAAAUCAAAUCGUCCACCGACGAAUCAUUCAUGAGCAUGUAAGUCUUCAUGAGAAACGGAAGCGACCUUUGGGAGGCGCCAACUACUGGCGAGUCCCCGGUCUGCUCCGCCGGCAUCGGUCCCCAUGGGUGCCUCUCAAAUUCCAAGCCCCAAGACACCUGGAGAGACUCCGAACCGGACAGUAUCCACAAAAUCAAUGCACACGAAGCAUCCUCCCGCCAAUUUGAUUAAGAAAAAGAAAAACCGAAAAAGAGAAUAAAAGAAACUAUUCCUCCAUCUAGUGAUGUUCGUCCUAUGCGAGAAUUAAUAAAACAAAUCCUUUUCGUGUCCCUUGCCUUGAAGCAACAUAUAGAGCAUUAAAAUUGAUAAAGGGCAAUCGAAAGCCUUGAUGUUUUAUUUGAUAGAACCAUGUCAAACGGUUGGGGCUUUGAGUGCAAGAAAAUUUGGGUUGGGGAUCAAUAUCUUGGGAGUAUCCUCUCCAUUUUCUGGCCGGUUUGGAAAAAGCAAAGAAAGCAAGCCUUUGAAGGAGAGGAGUCUCCAACCCCUGUAAUUUUUCAUGACUGGUGCAAAGCUAAUGAUUUUAGCAUAAUGGAAUUAGGAGCAGAUGCAAAUGCAUUGGUUGCUAAUAUAUGCUUUCUCUCGUGAUUAAGUUCUUUUGAAUCUUGACCUCGUUUUGUACGUGGGUUUGCGCCCACCUAGCACCCUAUAGUGAAUUUUUCUCUAUCAAUGAGAACAAGCUUUCUUGCAAUACCCCCACAGAACCAUACACACUAUCCUCCUUAUCUUGCACCAUAUCCUCAGCAAGAGGCACAAAUUUAGAAGCUUCUGGCAUCAUCCAGCCCCAUUGUAAUCUGAACUGCUUCCGCUUAGUUGUGGCGCCAUCACAGGCACGGCUGCUCCAAGGAUUUAUCUUCCCCCCUAUUCGUUCGAGUCUCGAAAUAGAUUAGAAAAGGAUAGAAUUCUUUCAAUCGUUGGAUUAGAUUUGAAUUCAAUAAUGGGGGUGGGGUUCCUUUCUGACAAAAAACUGGUGCACGGACAUUCAUCUUAAACAUUGCUUCCCCCCUCUUUUUUUUUUUUUCUCUCUCUACUGAUCAGGAUGCUCUGGUUUCUAACGUCUUGUGCGUCAACAACAGCACUUUACUCUGAAUUCCCAACUCAAUUUAUACUUUAGGGGAGCUUGAUGUGGUCUGCACAUUCAUCUCUCUCUUUAUAGCCCAAGGUUAAAGGUAUUGGAGAAGGACGGACUCAUCUAGGAUUUUGUUAAAUGCAGAGCCUCCUCCUGGGGAUCUGAAUUAGGCCGGAAACUCCCCAAGCAAGCCUCCUUCCACUCUAAUUGGGCUGUGAUUUCUUGCCCAACUCGACAACGAUAUGUUUUCCAGAGGAAGACUCGACACAUCGGGUAGGCAUGUGAAGAGGGGCUUCUUCUUUUUUUCUAGUGUUUCCCAUGGAAUUUUUGUGCAGCCAGCAGUUUACACCGACUAAAAAGAAAGACAAACAUGGGAAAUUUCCCAAACAGAACCGUGUUUCCCAGUGGUGAUAUGUUUAGAACUGCUUCAGACCAUCUCUUUAGUUGCAGAGGCAAAUGUGCUAAAAAAUCCACCAUGUUCAGGUAAACGUAAGCAAUUUAAGAAGGUGAACGCAGGUAAAGCUAAAUUUGAUAAAGCAACCAGAAUUUUAUCUUUAUGUAAGGUUAAAUUCAGAUUCUAUAUAGUCACUGAAAAUACAUGAGCUUCCAUGCAAAACUCAUCCUGUCCAAACAUUAAAAACCGGAACUAUCCCCAUUUUCAAUAGGCAAAUCAGCGCCCUUCACCUGCGACUUCAGCUUCGGAAGGAAUAUAAACCAAAUUCAGCUUUAGGGAACCAGCUUUCUAUGGUCUAGUCGUUUAAAAAGCUAUUAAACUUUCCGUUUGUUAGUGGAUUUUGACUCAGUUGAUAGAUAUUUAAUAUCGUCAGUAGAAAGAGCAUGACCAACAACUCAAAUGUCAAGUAAUCCUUUCAAAAAAUAUCGCCACUAUAAGAAAUUUCUUGACUUUCAAUUGAAUUUUGCCUGGGUCGUAAGUAAACUACCAACACUAGAAUAAAUUACUAUUUCAAAUUAAUGUUGGUAAAUGUAUUAUAGUAUUAGUAUAUUACAAAAGAUACUUGUAUAAUUACAAAGGAUCUAGUAAUGUUGUGAUAAUGUCGAUAAUUUUCAAGAAGUGGUAAUUUAUAAUUUUGUCAGAAUGUUGGUAAACUACUUGUAGUGCUGGUAGUUGAUGGACUGCAGUUGUAAAACUUGAGAAAACUUGGUAAAAGGACUAAAUCAAUUACGAGAUUGGUCAAUUCAUAGUGGUAUAAAAAACCUUUUACAGCCAUUACACGGAUAAAUGAACAAAGUAGGAAAUUCACGAACUCACAGCAAGGCGACAAUAGCGGAUGAAAGGGCAAGGAACCCGUACUUUGCCAUCCCCUCGGAGAUCCCGACGAAGGUAUUAGCAAUUCCAAACAUGAUCCUCCACAACAAGGCGCACACCAACACAGCCGCAGCCCCCACGAGGACCAAGUAAUUGCUCCUCAAGAACGACUCCACUUGCAGCCCAAUGGCCUCCCGAUAUUUGCUAAACGCAGAAAGAACCGACAUUGUCGGCUUCUCGAAAACCUUCUUCGCGAAACCCCCGUUCCCCGAGCUUUGGAACGAGAAAUGCCUGACCCCAUAGCAAUUCAAUCGCGACGGACCGAGUCCCGCCGGCGAGAAGCUCUUCGACGAAGCUUGGCCCGCCCUAGGAAGGAGUACCUCGGACGCGGCGAGAUUACUGAACGCUCUAGACUGGCACGAAUUCCGCGCGGUGCCAGCGGCCGAGCUCGACGGAUAGGAGAGAGGAAACGGGCGGGGAAAGAAGAAGGAGGGGGCAACGAGGAGCCGGCGGCGGCGGGAUCGACGGCCGCGGUGGCGAAGUGGGAGGAGGAAUGCACGCCGGCGGGGGACGAUUUCGGGAGGUGGAGCUGGUGGUGGCGGCGAUGCAAUGUCAGAACGCCUUGGAGCAAUCGCGAGGAGGGCUUUGACAUCGUAGUACGCGAUUCGUACGAAAUCGGAGCUCGAACGCCGCUGCUUCGAUGCAGAAUUGAAGGACGCGAAUUUCGCCGGAGACUUGCGGGAUCGGAGGAAAGGAAAGGAGGGUAGUUGACGCGAGGGAAGUGCUCCUCCCGGAGGGAAGCCGGAGCGCAGUCGAUAGCUUGAUGUUGUACGGUGCAGUCAGCGGCGAGGGAAGACGACGACGACCAUUCUUUGAUCUCGUCUUCUACGGUUCGAACUUGGGUUUGGGCCGGAAGAGGCCCAAGCCCAAGUUUGAAUUCUAAAGCAUCCAAAAUAGGGGCAGGCGAUUCCACCUUCUGCAUAGAUUCUAUCUACAAUUUAAAAUCUACCUGUUGUAAAAAGUUCAUUCCUAAAAUCUAUCCUGUCAUAGAUUCCUCAAUUUAUUCGGGUUCUACCUUUAUUAUAAAUCAAAUUAUUGCAGUGAAUCAUUAAUUUUAAUGCACUAAUCACGACUUAUUUUUAAAUACAUGAAGAAUAUAAAACAUUAAUAAAGUAAAGGUUUUGAUCAUAAUAUGGAAGUUCAAACGAGUAGUUCUAUAUCAUAUACUCAUCAUCGGAUGUCAUGGAACAUCACAAAAUUGUGUGAAAACAUAAACUAAGAAAAAAACAAAUUUAUUUAAUUUUUCAAAUUUAAAAUCUACCUUACAUAUUUUGAAAUUUGGAACUGGACAAGUUCCAACCGAUCUGGUUCUUUGAUUUCACAUUCUACUCUAGAAUUAUACUCAUCCCUAAUUCAACUCUUUUGUGUGUGUGUGUGUGUGUGUGUGUGUGAGAGAGAGAGAGAGAGAGAGAGAGAGAAGUACUUUUUGGGUGAAGGAAGUAUGAUUGUCUUACCAAUAGUGGAGACCAAUCAGGAGAUGUUUGGGCUUAUUCUUCAGUAUGAUUUGGAAUUAUACUCAUCCCUAAUUUCAACUCUUUGUGAGAGAGAGAGAGAGAGAGAGAGAGAGAGAGAGAGAGAGAGAGAGAGAGAGAGAGAGAGAGGAAUAACAGCUGUUGAAUUAAGUUCUUUUUGGGUGAAGGAAGUAUGAUUGUCUUACCAAUAGUGGAGACCAAUCAGGAGAUGUUUGGGCUUAUUCUUCAGCCUUUAUUAUUUUUCUUUGCACGAACCCAAGAAGCAAGUUUUGGCAGUUCAUGAAGACCUCCGCAUGCCAACUGCUACAAGCUCAAUGUAAAGCAAGUUUUUGGCAAAAACACUAGAAGCAUCGGUUUCAAAAAGUGAUCGGAAAGCAAAACCCUUCCUUCCAAUCCAAGCGUCCUGCUUAGAUGAUAACCUGAUAUGUUAGAAGUUCAAAAAGUGCAUCGGAGUGACAGAGAGAAGCUCAUCAACCAUGAAACGAGGGAGUCUAGCUCCUCAUACUAGCGCAUGCUUUGAUUUCACGAGAUUUGUUUGCAUGGAUGGAAAGAUUGACACACCCCGCAGGGUGAAGUCAGUUGACAAGUAUGACGACAAAAGGCGAGGACCAAUAGAUCAGAAAAAUAGCAGCUCCAAUGUUGCGUUUAUGGUCCAAAAGCUUUGAAUCUGGUAGCUCCUCCCAUGCUUAAUCCCGUUUUGUGGACAGGUGAAUUAGAACUGCUGCAAGGGCAUGGCAAUCGGAAAUUCGAUGGUUCAAACAUGACAGGAAAUUGAGGAUAGACACAGCAUUAUUGCCUUAUUAGCAAACGUGAGUGAACACAAAAUUGGAGUAACAUAUCUAGUUUUGAAUCCGCUUGCCUGCUUCCCUACCUGUCCCCUCAUGAUCCAAGAGUUGGAGGCCUGUCGUUGUUGAGGCCCACUUAAAUUUUUCUGUACCAGCAUUCAUUAACAGGGAAGAGACGUUAAGUAGAGAUCAUAUUUUGGUUGAAAAGAUAGAGAGCAGAAAGCAAAGUUCAGCCCGGAAGAUACAGUAGAAAGAGUUGUGUUUUGAGAAAUAGACCCCAUAGAAUGCUAAUUACAUUACAUGUAUAAGCAAACUCGUGGAAGGGAAGAGAUCAUAUGAGCACAAGUUCUAAACAAACCCAAAAUGAAAAACUAAAGGCAGAGGAGAGAGCACAAGAUUGCUCAUUUCUUACAUGCUUCUUGACAAUCUCAGUCUCUUCAACUUGGCUACCUUCACUACUACAACCACAUAUACCUUGUGUGCUGCCUGAUCCGCAAAGCUGAAAUAUGCUCGUCUCCAAUCCUUCUUGAAUUGCAAAACACUGAAAAAGCCCCAGAACCCAAUCGCAAAUCCAAGCAUUACGAUCGCAUAGAACAACGUCCGAUCAAGCUUAUCCUCUUCAUGUGUAUCUUCAGGGUGAGGGAUUUUCUGUGGUUGAGGCGUCUCGGCACUGAGGCAUUUGUUUCUCAAAAGAUCACCACAGAGUAGAGGAUUGCCAGCAUAAAUGGAAGGAUCGUCGAGUGUUUGGAUUUGAUUCCCUUUUGGAAUCUGCCCCAUAAGGUCGUUUUGCGACAAGUUGAGGUGAGCUAGGGAUGUUAAUGUUGAAAUGCCUUGCGGAAUUGUCCUUGAGAGAUGGUUGUUUGAAAGAUCAAGAGACUCGAGUGAUGUCAUGUUCCCAAUGCCAAUGGGAAUAUUUCCAGAGAGAUGGUUGUGAGACAAGUUCAAGCCAUGCAAUUUUGAGAGGAAAGAAAGUUCUUCGGGGAUUGACCCGUUCAAAAAGUUGCUAGAGAGAUCUAAAUUGACCACAAGUCGCAGAACAAUUUUGGUGUACUCGUUAUAUCUUCCCUUCAUGAUCUCAACCACGUGCUCUUGACCCCAAUUAAUAUCGGCUUCAAAUGACAAGGAAUUCAUAUCUUGUAUAGGAGCGAUGGCCACAGAUCCAAAUAAAUUGGUUUGAUUCAAGUUGAUCAUGCCACUCAUGUUGCCAAGACAAUGUGGGAUCAUUCUCGUCAAAUUGUUCACUGCCAUGUCUAAUAUUUUCAAUCUUGAUAGUGAGCAGAGCUGCGGAGGGAUGUUGCCGACAAACCUAUUCUCUCGUACCCUCAGGAUCGACAAGGACUGAAAGCUUUCGUCAAACCAUGUCAGAAUGCUUCCAGACAAAUCAUUCUCUCCAAGGUCUAAAAUUACCAAAUCUGUGCAAUAAUCUAAAGCCCGAGGAAGCUCCCCAUUGAGAUGGUUUCCAUUCAAGUGUAGGGUGGUAAGGUGGGGCAAUGAUCCAAGUGAGCUAGGAAUUACUCCGGACAACUUAUUGAAUGACAAAGUCAAGAAUGAUAAAGAACCCUUCCAACAGUCUGGAAUACUGCCAGAUAGGCUAUUAUUGGCAAGAUUUAAAUUAAACAACUCCAUGUCGCAUAAUGAUGAUGGUAGAAUACCACCAAGUAGGUUGUCAUUGAGAUACAAAGUAUGUACUUGGUACAUAAUACCAAUAUCUGUUGGAAGAGAACCGGAGAUCAAGUUGUGGGAGAGAUAUAAAUGGGAACAAUUAAUAAACAUGUUGGGCAAGGGUCCAGUAAUCUGAUUGUAGGAUAGAUAGAGCACUGAAAACUUCAAGUUAGCUGACCAUUUUGGCAAGGGCCCAGUAAUUUGAUUGUAGAUAGAUCGAGCCAUGAAAAAUUCAAGUUAGCUGACCAUUUUGGCAAGGGCCCCAGUAAUUUGAUUGUAGAUAGAUCGAGCCAUGAAAAAUUCAAGUUAGCUGACCAUUUUGGCAAGGGCCCAGUAAUUUGAUUGCAAGAUAGAUCGAGCCAUGAAAAAUUCAAGUUAGCUGACCAUUUUGGCAAGGGCCCAGUAAUCUGAUUGUAAGAUAGAUCAAGCCUGGAAAAUGUCAAGUUGACUGACCAUUCUGGCAAGAGUUCAGUAAUCUGAUUGUAAUAUAGAUAAAGCCAAGAAAAUGUCAUGUUGACUGACCAUUCUGGCAAGGGCCCACUAAUCUGAUUGUAAGAUAGAUCAAGCUUGAAAAACAUCAAGUUGGCUGACCAUUUUGGCAAGGUAAUCUGAUUGUAAGAUAGAUCGAGCUGGGAAAAUGUCAAGUUGGCUAACCAAUUCGGUAAGGGCCCAAAAAGGGAAGCAUUGGAGAGCCUGAUAUCUAUGGCGUUCACUUGUGUUUGAAUCCAUCGGGGAACUUUAGCUCCGAAUUUACAAGAGUUCAUCCCGAUAUAAAGCAGUUGGAAAGGGGGUAUCCAGUUGGGUUUUGCCUUAAAACUCAAAUUAUUAUUGUCACCAAUCUCCAAAUCCUUGAGCCUCGACAAAUUAGAAAAAUGGAUUUCGGUAAUCACACCUUCUAAAUGAUUAUUGUAAAGAAACAACUCUUGCAAAACCCCCAAUUUCCCUAAUGACUCAGGAAUAUGCCCCCCCCCCCCAAUUGAUUAUCAGAAAGAUCUAACGAUCUUAAUGAUGACAACUGACCUAUUAAUGGUGGAAUGGUCCCAUUCAAUCUAUUACCCAUAAGACCUAGUGUUUCCAAGUUUGACAAUGAUCCAAUGACACUAGGGAUUGGACCGAAGAAGAAAUUGACAGAAAGCUCGAUAUUUUUCAAGUUUGUGAAGUGCUCCAACCAGUCGGGUAGAGCACCCUUAAGAUAAUUUGAACAUAUCUCUAGACUCUCUAAGCUACUCUCGAUGAGUCCUAAUGAAUUUCCUUGGGUUGUCGAAAUCUCUUCUUCGAUUUGGUUAGCACACAAAUGCAAUGACUUGAGGUACUGCAUGUUCUUUAAGAAUGAGAAUAAGUCUCCUUCAAUGUUGUCAAAACCAUUUUCCUCGAGAUUGAGAUGAGCAAGGCUUGUAAACUUAUCAAACCACAUGGGAAUUGAUAAGUUGAAAGAGUUAUAUGAAAGAUUAAGAUGCUGAAGAGAAGCCAUGUUUUGAAACAAAGUGCUUGGGAUGGGACCUUUGAAAUGAUUACUCGAAAGAUCGAGGUACUGAAGAUGAACAAGAGAAGUAAAAUUGGCCAAGUGAUUAGAAGACAUAUGAAAAUUAUGUAAUCUACAGCCUGAUAAGCUGUGAUAAAGCUGGGAGCAUGCUGAUCACCUGCAUGAGGACUCUUUUGUUCACAAUCCUUGCGCCACUCAUGUCGAGGUACUUUAGUGAUUGAAGAUGAGAAACCCACGGGAUAUCAUCCACAACCAAANNNNNNNNNNNNNNNNNNNNNNNNNNNNNNNNNNNNNNNNNNNNNNNNNNNNNNNNNNNNNNNNNNNNNNNNNNNNNNNNNNNNNNNNNNNNNNNNNNNNCCUCGCCGCUCUACGCCAGUCUCUCUCGUGCUAUGCCCGUCGCCGAGGCCGCUCGCCCGAACCCUCGCCGCUCGACGCCAGUCUCUCCCGUUCUCUGCCCGUCGCCGAGGCCGCUUUGCCCGUCGCCAACGCCUCUUGCCCUCGAGGCCGCCGCCGGACGCCGCAGGCCAUGCCGCCGCCGCUCGACGCCAGUCGCUGGACUCGUUUAUCACGAAGCCUAAGGGUCCCUGUUAUGGAAACAUUGCGAUUUGCCUUCUCUUGAAUUCAGCAUUUGCCAGGAUCAAUCAAGGUACGGUCCUCAUCUAAUCUCGCUUUCCGUCAAUCUUAAGGUGACGCUUUUAGCACGCGUCGAUGUCGUUCUUCUUGUUGAUGAUAAUGGAGGCGUGCUGAGGAUGAAUGUUCUGUUCUUGUUGAUGAUAAUGGAGGCGUGCUGGGGAUGAAUGUUCUGUUCUUGGUGUAUGUUGUUCUUCUUGUUAAUGAUAAUGGAGGCGUGCUGAGGAUGAAUGUUUUGUUCUUGGUGAAUGUGAUCUGGGUGCUUUGUGUGCACGGUGCUUUGUGAUCUGGGUGCUUUGGAGUGAAUAUUCACCAUGUUGAAAGUUGCUGGCGAGUGUAGAUUUGAUGCUAAAGAAAUCUGAAGGACCAAAUUGAUGUUUUGCUGAAGUAAAUUAGAACAUUAUGGUGCUGUGUUUUGAAUCUUUUAUUCAAACAUGUUUCAACUUUACUCCAGUUACUUGAUCUGCUGUCGAAUGUCGUUCGUACAUAGCAUGGUAAAUGUCUAUAUUAUUAUAUGCACACUCUAUUUAUAAUCUACAUUCUUCACAACCACUAAACUCCCGUUGAUCUUGCAGAGACAGAACACAUUUUCAUUGCUAGAGAGAGCGAUUGGGGUUUCACAUCCUUUAUUCUUACCUGUUGCUCGGUUAUUUACCAUGACUUUGACCAUUGGUUCAGCUUUGCAUGUUAAUUAUCUUGGUUGAAGUUUAUGGUAAGGAUUCUUUCCUGACUGAAGUUUUUUCACAUUUCAGGAAACUAUCUGUGUUAAGAGAUAACUUCAACACCUCUAAGAUGAAGUUCUUGAAAUUUGACACCAAUGGCUUUGAGAAGAUGUUAUUCAGCGCCUUUGCAUGUCAAAGGAGACAAAGAUUGUGCUUACAUAAUUCUACCGCCCCAAUCUACGUUUUUCUGAGUUUGUUGUUUUCUUUUGUUCUAAGGAUUGGAUUAGGUUUUUUUGUGUUCAUAGGGAUAUUUAAGUGCUUGAAAACAGAAAUAUGCACCAGCAUGAUUUUUGGUAGAUUUACUCCUAAUAUGAACCUGCUGUUAACAGGUUAAGCAUAGCAGAGAACUUCUUCAUGGACUUACAAAAAGGAUUUCCAUGUUUUGAUAAAAACAUAUGGUUUGAGAAGAAAGAUCGGUGACAGCCAGCAUAUCCGAUAAUUCAAAUUUAAAAAUGAAGAAAAAAAAAAAGAACCUGUUGGAACCUGAAACCGACCCUGGAACCUGUGACCGGGUAGGUUCCAGGUUCUUGGUUCUGAUGGGUAGGUUCCAGGUUCCAAAUUUUUUGGAACCUGUACCCGAGGGUAGGUUCCAGGUUCCAGACGGAACCGAAUCGGAACCUGGAACCGCUCACCCCUAUUGCCGACAAACCUAUUCUCUUGUACCCUCAGGAUCGACAAGGACUGAAAGCUUUCGUCAAACCAUGUCGGAAUGCUUCCAGACAAAUCAUUCUCUCCAAGGUCUAAAAUUACCAAAUCUGUGCAAUAAUCUAAAGCCUGAGGAAGCUCCCCAUUGAGAUGGUUUCCAUUCAAGUGUAGGGUGGUAAGGUGGGGUAAUGAUCCAAGUGACCUAGGAAUUACUCCGGACAACUUAUUGAAUGACAAAGUCAAGAAUGAUAAAGAACCCUUCCAACAGUCUGGAAUACUGCCAGAUAGGCUAUUAUUGGCAAGAUUUAAAUUAAACAACUCCAUGUCGCAUAAUGAUGAUGGUAGAAUACCACCAAGUAGGUUGUCAUUGAGAUACAAAGUAUGUACUUGGUACAUAAUACCAAUAUCUGUUGGAAGAGAACCGGAGAUCAAGUUGUGGGAGAGAUAUAAAUGGGAACAAUUAAUAAACAUGUUGGGCAAGGGUCCAGUAAUCUGAUUGUAGGAUAGAUAGAGCACUGAAAACUUCAAGUUAGCUGACCAUUUUGGCAAGGGCCCAGUAAUUUGAUUGUAAGAUAGAUCGAGCCAUGGAAAAUUCAAGUUAGCUGACCAUUUUGGCAAGGGCCCAGUAAUUUGAUUGUAAGAUAGAUCGAGCCAUGAAAAAUUCAAGUUAGCUGACCAUUUUGGCAAAGGCCCAGUAAUUUGAUUGCAAGAUAGAUCGAGCCAUGAAAAAUUCAAGUUAGCUGACCAUUUUGGCAAGGGCCCUGUAAUCUGAUUGUAAGAUAGAUCAAACCCGGAAAAUGUCAAGUUGACUGACCAUUCUGGCAAGGGUCCAGUAAUCUGAUUGUAAUAUAGAUAAAGCCAAAAAAAUGUCAUGUUGAUUGACCAUUUUGGCAAGGGCCCACUAAUCUGAUUGUAAGAUAGAUCAAGCUCGAAAAACAUCAAGUUGGCUGACCAUUUUGGCAAGGUAAUCUGAUUGUAAGAUAGAUCGAGCUGGGAAAAUGUCAAGUUGGCUAACCAAUUCGGUAAGGGCCCAAAAAGGGAAGCAUUGGAGAGUCUGAUAUCUAUGGCGUUCACUUGUGUUUAAAUCCAUCGGGGAACUUUAGCUCCGAAUUUACAAGAGUUCAUCCCGAUAUAAAGCAGUUGGAAAGGGGGUAUCCAGCUGGGUUUUGCCUUAAAACUCAAAUUAUUAUUGUCACCAAUCUCCAAAUCCUUGAGCCUCGACAAAUUAGAAAAAUGGAUUUCGGUAAUCACACCUUCUAAAUGAUUAUUGUAAAGAAACAACUCUUGCAAAACCCCCAAUUUCCCUAAUGACUCAGGAAUAUGCCUCCCCAAUUGAUUAUCAGAAAGAUCUAACGAUCUUAAUGAUGACAACUGACCUAUUAAUAGUGGAAUGGUCCCAUUCAAUCUAUUACCCAUAAGACCUAGUGUUUCCAAGUUUGACAAUGAUCCAAUGACACUAGGGAUUGGACCGAAGAAGAAAUUGACAGAAAGCUCGAUAUUUUUCAAGUUUGUGAAGUGCUCCAACCAGUCGGGUAGAGCACCCUUAAGAUAAUUUGAACAUAUCUCUAGACUCUCUAAGCUACUCUUGAUGAGUCCUAAUGAAUUUCCUUGGGUUGUCGAAAUCUCUUCUCCGAUUUGGUUAGCACACAAAUGCAAUGACUUGAGGUACUGCAUGUUCUUUAAGAAUGAGAAUAAGCCUCCUUCAAUGUUGUCAAAACCAUUUUCCUCGAGAUUGAGAUGAGCAAGGCUUGUAAACUUAUCAAACCACAUGGGAAUUGAUAAGUUGAAAGAGUUAUAUGAAAGAUCAAGAUGCUGAAGAGAAGUCAUGUUUUGAAACAAAGUGCUUGGGAUGGGACCUUCGAAAUGAUUACUUGAAAGAUCGAGGUACUGAAGAUGAACAAGAGAAGUAAAAUUGGCCAAGUGAUUAGAAGACAUAUGAAAAUUAUGUAAUCUACAGCCUGAUAAGCUCAAAUGUGAUAAAGCUGGGAGCAUGCUGAUCACCUGCAUGAGGACUCUUUUGUUCACAAUCCUUGCGCCACUCAUGUCGAGGUACUUUAGUGAUUGAAGAUGAGAAACCCACGGGAUAUCAUCCACAACCAAAUUUUCAUAUUCAUUAUGAAGAUCGAGGACUUCCAACUCGGUGAGAUUUCCCAAUUGUUGGGGAACCAUUCCAUAGAAGUUGGCAAACGAUAGAUUGAGGUACCUCAAUUCUUCCAUUGAACCGAUGAAUUCAGGUAUUCUUCCAUGAUUGGAAUCGAUCCCGCUUAAGUCCAAAUGGUUCAAGUAUCUCAAGCGGAGCAAAGAAGAGUUCAACUCACCACAAGCCAGGAGAAGCUUCGAUCCCAUGUGAGAAUAAGUACUAGUUUCGUCUUUUGUUGGUUGGGGUAAUAAUUGGAGAUUGAUGACAUGACCAUAUACUCUAUCACAAUUCACUCCUUCCCAUCUGCAGCACUCUCUGCCUUCCCAUGAAGAAAGCAAGCCGGAUGGAUCUACGAGGCUUCGUCGAAGCUGGAGCAGAGCCUCUCUUUCUUGCUCUCUGCAAAUGGACGUUGAAUUGUUACAAAAGCACACACCUGAAUUAUCUAAAACAAGUAAUAGAGUUACUAGUGUGAACACUCGGGAACAAUAUCUCCCCAUGAGCAAUGAGAGAGAGAGGAUGAAUUCCUGUUUUAGAGUGAAGAUUUUGAGGGUCCUCUAAUCAAAUCCAAAUUAUUUAUAGAGAAGGGCAGGGAGAGAUUUCUUUUUUAACGAGACAAGUUGUGGUUUCGUACAUGAACCUUAUGUCCAUGCAUGUGUAUCAUGUAUAUGUAGCGCAUUUAAGAUCCACAUAUGAAAGUCGUCGUCGGGGAGAAAAGGCUCAUCCAUUCUUGCAGUUGGAGUUCAUAAAUUGAUGACCUGACCCCAUCUAGAUGAGACAUCCCCGUCAACUUGGAAGAAAGAGUAGCGCCAUUACGGAGAUUGCGGACAAGCCCGUCCAAUAUUCUGCAGUGCUGGUCUUGGAUAAAGUCAAGUCUUUUGGGUCCAUGUCAUUAUUCAUGUCAAGGUCGUUUCUCGGUCUACAUUGCGAGUUUUUAAAGACACCGUUUGUUUUACGUUUUUAUCUUAACUAGAUUACCAACUCUGGAACAAUAAAGCUAACUGGUCUUCUUGCUCAUAAGGAUGAUGGUAAUGUACCAUUCAUUAGGAUUUGACGGAGACACAAUAGAAGAGGUAGAGAGAUUUAAACUGUCGGAGAGAUCUUAAUCAGAACCGCUAAAAGGUACAUAUAUUGGAUAAGGGCGUGGUAAUUUGAGUGUGAAGACAAAUCAAGCCACAAAGUUCACAUGUUGGCUGACCAUAUAGGCGAAGCCUCCAAAAUGGAGGCAUUGCAGAGAGAGAAGCCAUGGUCCUCCACUUGCGUCUGCGUCCAUUGUGGAAAUGUCAAUCCAGUUGGGAUUUGCCUUAGAAGUCGGGUAAUUAUCGCUAAUAUCCAAAUACUACAGGCUAGACCUAGUUUAUGUGGAGUAUGGAUCGCUCGGGCAUAGGGAGCAAAAUAUCGGAGCGCGGAACGUCAUUCGUGCCAAACGAUAGGGGUAGACUUCUUUUAAUCAUGUAAUUAGUAUCAUACAUGAUUUUGCAGUUACAACAAAGAUAAUAUAGGCAGUAUAAUGUGUUUCUAACGUAUCAUGUUCAAAGAAGAAUUAUUAUUUUAAAUUGUGUUUUCAAUUACAAAAAUUAUCAGCAUGAAAAAUAUAUCUCAAAUAAAUAAUAAAGAUUAGUACAUUGAAACGUCUGAAAUGCUCAUUUUAGUAUAUGGAUGCAUUCUCAUCUCAGAUGAUAUUCUGUGCACCUAGGAUUUACGGCCGUGUAAGAGACGAAUGCACACAUCUAGCAUAUCGAGUAAUUGCUGUGUGAGAGGCGAAUGCAUACAUGUGCCUUUCAAUCAAAGUUCAUGAAAAUGAAAGUCCGCGCAUAACUCCAAUUCGAGUCAAUAUUUACCACUUUUUAAAGUUCAUGAAAAUGAAAACCCACCGAUAACUCCAAGUCAAAGUCAAUGUUUAUGACAUUUCAGAAUAAUAACUUACUUCAUCUUUAGAGCUAGUCCAUGUUGAUUUGGUUGCAUUUAUUUCUUUUUUCCGUAAGUAAAUAUCGUGUAUUCGCAAAACUCCAGCAACUGUGGGAGGACAAAUUGUUUUACUACCCUCUGCAUUUAUGCAAAAGCUUCAUUCUCCCCCCUUUUUUUGUUAAAAAUAUUAAAUCUAGAUUUGCGAGACUUUUUCAAUAACAUGUAAUUAAUGAAUUAGUCGCUCGAAACACAAAAGCAAGUCACAAAAGCUUUUACACUUUCUACUCAACAAAUAAACAGUUUUCAGAAAUUCUGACAGACUACACUUGUGGAGAGAUUUCGUUAUGUACACGCAUUCUAUUAUUAUGAAAUGUAAAAAUCACCAUUUGAGUGUGAAUUAUAGGUAAGGUAACACUGGUAAUCCACGAAUAACUCCAGAUAAAGUGAACAUUCUCUCUCUCUCCAUAAAAAAAGAACUUCCCUAAUGAUACGUGUUGAUGUCGCGAUCAAUUCUUAAAAGAUUUUGAUCACAUCCUAAUAAAAAGAACUUAACAAUGAUACAUUUUAUCAAUUAGAUUGAGCAAUAAAACAAAGGCAAUGUAGUGUCCAUCGUAAGAUUAUUACGGUAAAUUUAUAGAAAGAAAAGGGCUUACUUUUUACCUUAAUUACAUCAUUUUCAUUCAACUGACAAAGUUUCUAGCUUUCUGCAUUGUAGUCGAGAACUUGGAAUUAACAAGAACAUACAUCAAAUGCUUCUGACUAAUUACUUCGCAUGAAUUUCCAAGCUUUUGGUAUUCUGAAAUUGCUUCAAUAGUUUUGCAUCAAGAGUAGAAAGGAUUGGUCUCAACUGUUUCAUCUGAUAAUGGACAUGAACAUUGUUGGAUCCUUACUCGAGCGGUUCCACCCUAAGCUUCUCAUUGUUAAGAAGGUGCCUUCGGUAUUGGUACCUUAGACAGGAAGCUCUUGAAUAAAGCAUGUGCCAGAGAGAGAGAGAGAGAGAGAGAGAGAGAGAGAGAGAGAGAGAGAGAGAGAGAGAUUGGCACUUCAACACCACAAAUAUAUAUGCUUUUCCAAAAACACAUAGAAUGGCCUCUACAGCAGGGUCAUGCUUAUCCUUCUUCCUCUCAUCACUAAGCAUGACUGAAUCAACUCAAUUAAGCUCUUCUCCUGGCUCUGCUUCCUAUUAAUGUCGAAAUAUGUCUCGAGCUUGAGUUUGUAAGUGAAAGUCUAAAUUCAUAUAAGAGAUUUUCUAUUUGGAAAUUCGAUGGACAAAUAAACAAUAAAUUUAAAAACUUAAAAGUGAAGUCCAAGUUGGAUUAAGUUUCAGAACAAAUUAGGGAUAUCAACUUUCCAAAUUUGGGUUGGAUUCGGCAAGGCCUAGAGUUCCACCUUUAAUAUAUAAAAUAAGCAAAUCUCUUUUGGGAGUUAGCCUUGUUGAUUCGCCAUUCAUGGAAAGUUCCCGGGUCCGUCGAAUUCUCAUACCAUUGUUGGAGAAUAAUUCGUGAAUUAAGUCUCAUUAAGUUGGUGUUCAAGCCGUGAAAUCAUGCAGUAAGAUUUGGAUAUUUCUUUGUGAUAUUGAGAAAUAUUUCGUGAGAAAUUGUGAAGAAUAAACAUUAUUGAGUUUAAUUAGAAAAAAAUAUUUAAAAAGUAAUAAAUUUUGUCCAUAUCAACGCCGGUCAUACCAUGUAGGACGACUAGCAUCUACAUCAGCGAAUUUCGGCCAAGAUUGACUCAAUUGGCUAAAAGUGAAAAAGUUUAUGACUCAAUUGACAAAAUUAAAAAGGUUUAUGACUAAAAGUUGACAAAAGUGCAAUAGGUUUAUGACUUUUUUGAUAAUUUUCCCACAUUUUCAUGUGUCAAGUCGGAAGAUUUCUGAAAUGUGUCUAUGAUGCAGCUUUAGUAGAGAGCAGCUUUUAAAUCGCUUUUAAAUCGGAAGAUUACUCGAGUGAUUUCUGAAAUGUGUCAAGUCGGAAGAUUAUUCGAGUGAUUUGACAAUGAUGGUGAGCUAUAGUAGAGAGCAGCUUUUAAAUCGCUUUUCUAGUUUCUCCAUUUAGAGUUCAUGGAAUGCAAAAUGCAUUUUUCCAUAACUCGAAUUUCAAGGAUACUAAAACCUGUACUACAUUAAAGAAAAAUUCACCAACAUAAAUUGAGAUGGGUCUAUGAUGCAUUGUCUAAGCUGGAGCAAAGCCUCUCCUUUUUGCUCUCUGCAAAUGGAAGUUGAGUUUUUAGAGCAGCAAACACAUGAAUUAUUUAAAAAGAGCAAUAGAGUUACUAGUGAAAGGACUUGAGAAAAAUAUCUCCCCAUGAGCAACAAGGGAUGGUCUCGCAGGCAGAGAACAAAUUUAUACUUUAGAGAGUGGGGGUUUAAGGAUCCUCUAAUUAAAUCCAGAUCAAUUAUAGAGAAGCAAGGGGGAGAUUUUUCUUUCAAUGUGACAAGUUGGGGUUCCAAACAUGCACCAUAUGUGGAUGCAUGUGUGCCAUCUCGAAGGAUGUAUGUGUAGCACACGUAAGGUCCACGUAUCAUAAUCACCGUCCAAGAAGAGAUGGCACAUCCAUUCUUGCAAUUAGAGUUUGUCAAUUAAUAACUAGGCCCCAUCCAAAGGACAUAAUUCAACCUCUAAAAAUUAGUCCAAGUGAAAAGCAGCUCCACUAAGGAGAUAGUGGAGAAUUACACUUAAUUUAUGUAGUGCCGUACACGGACUAAGUCAAGUCUUAGGGGUUAAUAAUUGUUUCUCUAAAUGCGUGCUUAGUACCGCUCAAUUCAAGUUAUGAUUUUUACUAAAUUAUCAAUUUCGAAAUAAUGAUCUUAAUUAGUCUUGUUGCUUGUGCAACGCACGGGAAUAUGUUGGUCAUUGCUUAAAAAGCAAGACAAUAGAAAACAUCAUCGAAAAAUAUAUUGCGAUUACUUUCGCAACAUCACAAAUGUAAUUAUUUUCUGAAUUCUGCCCCCACAACACCUAUGUUAAACUUGAGUUUGCUUUGCCCAUAAAAACUCUAGAUAAAUGAUGAUUUUGACCUUAGAAAACAUAAAUGGUUCAAUCUGUAAAAGAACUUUAUCUAUGUAGGCUUUUCCUUCAAUAGAAAGAUAUAAUUUGAUUCUUUAGUUGUGCGUUUAGUGUUUCCCAUGGGUGUAAAUCACUAAACAAAUAGUGAUGGUAAUAAAGCAAGGCAUCAUUAGCGCAAUUCAUGUGCAGCAAGUGAAAGGGUCAGAGGACCAUUCCAACAUAUAAACCACACUAAGAAACUCAGAGCUAUCAAAAAAAUAAAAUAAGAGAAAAAUCCUCCCAAGAAAAAAGAAUCAGACCGCAUGUGUAUCUUAUUUUAUAGUAUAAAAAAAAAAAGGUCUGACAACGAGUAGGGAUAAACAUUCAAUAUCACUGCUAAAAGCAUUUAAAAAGAAAAAGAAAAAGAAAACAAACAAAAUCUAACCACCGACUAUGUUGUAAAGGAAAAUGUAGCAACAAGCUUUGAAUGGAUACGAUAUGAGAAGGUUUGAGGAAUUCAAACUCAAUAAACAGUUUAAAUCUUCCGUAGACUCAAAUCCCGUGCAACCAAUUGAUGAUGAGUUAUAAUGCAGUAACGUUUAUCAGAGAUAAAGCCUGGUUUAGAUUGGAGAACAGCAUGGUUGUUUUUUACCACGGAGAUCAAAGGUCACUAACGAAGGGGAAGAUAAGAGAAGCUAAGGAUCGUAUCUUGUCAUCAAUUUCGAUACUCGUAGAUUGGAAUCAAUCAAGAGGCCUUUGAGCCUAAAAAACACAGAAAAUCAAGGUAAAAUAUAAACAUAGUCGAAGGAAGAAAACGAAGUUUUGGCAAAUUACUUUGACGAGUUUCUAGGAUAGAUGGGACGAUCAUAAACUGCAACAUUCCUCGUUCAGGAAGCAAGUAGUUGCGCAGAAAACCCACGACCCGAUGUACUUUAGAAACCAACUUGUGAUCAAGUAACCUUUGUUGGAGAAAUCUUUCCAGAAUAUUUUGAAGCUGACAAAACGAUUCUAUCAGUCUAGUAUGGAUAAAUACAGACCUUCUGUUUAGAGUCUGAAGACUUUCAGAUCACCAGACUCAGCUGUCACGCCCCGAUCCUCGGACGCGCGCACAUCCUUCUACUUGGUCGAUUUUAGAAUGCGAUAUCCCAGGACUAUGUAUCGCCGACCAUUUCUUUUAUUUAAGCACAUGCGGAAGCAGUUAUAAAUCCCCAGACAAUAAAACAAUGUGAUAGGAAAGUAGGCCAUAUUUUUCAUAUUGAAAUUCAUAACCAGACUUUCAUUAACAGUACAACUUAUAGUAUAUUUACAAUACUAUUCACAACAUACUUGUCUCACACCUAUCUAUACUAAGACAGGGUUUACAAAAGGGAUGGGAUCUCAGUCCACAUCCGGGUUAUAUUCAAGAUCCCUCUCUGGAUCAUCUUCUUCUUCAAAAGUCUUUCUCCCCUUCAGGUUCCUCUUCCUUAACUUCUCCUCAGGGUCCUGAAAUAGUUAUUCAAUAACCAAUGAGACCAUGUCUCAGCGAGUCCUACCCCCUACGACUCGAUUAGUAAACUAAUACGCCAUACGGUUGCCUAAGCACAACACGAGUCAGAGGACUUACCUUGGCCUCAGAUUCCACCUGCAUAUUAGUACAUAUUAAAUAGGCACCCAAGCAAACCCAUCACAGAUCGAAGCAUCGAUCAAAUCGACCUAGUCGAUUACAUGUCAAUCAGACCAUCUCAUGGUCAUUUCCAAUCAAUCAGUCAAUUCAUAAUAUCAGAUCAAAGCAAUGAUCAAUCGACCUAGUCGAUUACAUAUCAACAAGACCACUUCUGGUCAUUUCAACUAUUCCAAUUCAAUUCCCAAUUAUGAAUCACGGUCCUUAAGACACAACUUAAUUAUAGGUGGUAAUCACGGCCCCACCGAGCAAUUUUCUUAGAUUUAGUGGCAUCACGGCCCCACUCGGCAAUGUUAUAUGUAGUGGCAUCACGGCCCCACUCGGCAACUUUCAAUAUGUAGUGGCAUCACGGCCCCACUCGGCAAUGUUAUAUGUAGUGGCAUCACGGCCCCACUCGGCAACUUUCACUAUGUAGUGGCAUCACGGCCCCACUCGGCAAUGUUAUAUGUAGUGGCAUCACGGCCCCACUCGGCAACUUUCAAUAUGUAAUGGCAUUAUCAACCGAUGCCCGGUUAUUCUUCAAUUAAUAACCAAAGAUGAUUCAAUUUAGGAAUAAAUCAUAAAAUCAUUGAUAAAUUCAAUUCCACACAACGUAGAGCUCAAAUAAAUAAAUGGGCUGCACCACGACAAUCAGCACGAAAUUCCGGUCACCGGCCAUCCCGGUUGAAUUUCCGGAAAAAUAAAUAAAUAAUUAAUUAAUUUCGAAAAUAAAUAAAUAAAUAUUAAAAAUCCAAUUUAGGCCCAUAUUGCCUUAUUGGAGCCCGAAACGGGUCGGGAAAAAUCCCGAUAUGCAUUCAAUAAAUAACCAAACAUUUCUACUUGCUAAUAUCUAGGUCUAACCACCUAACAUGCAUCAUUAAGUCACUAAAUUAAUUGUUCUAACCUAAUCUAACCACCUAAGUGCAUGUAAUUAAAUCUAACCAACCCUAAGGCAUAAUUAGCAAACUAAUAAAGCAUUAGUGAGUAAAACUCACUUGGAAAAAGCGGGGAUCGAAUCACCACGACGGCGACGCGACGGCGGCCGAAAUCGGACUUUCGACGACACCGGCGGACUUGGACCGGGCCUUAAGCUUAGGCCCAACAAAUCUCAGCCCAAUUGAGAUUUGUUCUUGCACUGGAAUGGGCUGGACCUGCUGAAUUUCUGGACUGAACUAACUGCGCUAGCUGAACUGGGCUUGCUGGUCUUGUGCUGAAUUCGGUGGCCCAAAGGACUGAAGCUCACGGGCUGGGCUUGCUGCAGGGCUUGGUCUUCGGAUGGGUUGCUGGAGUUGACCGGUCUAGCGGAAUACUCGAAGAAGCAGCUCGUUGCUGUUGCUAGGCGGAACACGAAAUCAACGCUGGUGGAGGGCGCUGGUUCGUUGAUCGUUGAAGAUGCGCAGGCAGUUGGCGGAGAGGCGCACAAAUUGUUGGUGAAGGCCACGCGUUGAGAAGAAGCGGACGAGGGCAGCUUCUUCAGUGGCUUCGCUCGAUGGUCAACAAAAAUGGGAGGAGAUCUGCUGCUGUUAACCGAAGAUGACGCGUGGAGAGGCUGGCCGAAACGGUGGAGGUUGAGAGGCUUCGGUGGAACAUGGAUGAAGAGAAGCAACACUUGUGGCGGUUGCUGAAGCCGUUGACGAAGGCUGGAGUUUUGAAGCCGCGUGGAGAUGGAUGAACCGCAGCAGUUUCGAUCAACACCUGGGGACUUCGCUUGAGGAAUUUCACUGAAGUUGACCAAGAGAGCAAGAGAUGGUGGAGCAGGGGUGAGCUGGCCGCGUGAGAGGGGGCAAACGGGCGAAGGGAGAGAGAGAUAUCGUGGGCUGUGUCUUCAGUGGGAUGGCAGAGAAGUGGAGUUGAGGAAGACACGCGGAGGAGGCUUUGCUUAUCUGGACUUCGACCGAAAGAAAAUGAAGCAGAAGCUGAGACCGCAGAGUUAAAAAUGAAGAGGAGCCGUGCGUGAGGAAGAAGAUAAGAGAGAGGGUGGGCCAUCCUUGCCAAUUUUCCACAAGAAAUAUCUUCAACAAUCAAUCUAGGCCAAGCAUUAAACCUUGGCCUUCAUUAGGCCACACCAACAACUCUCACAACUUCUCAAUUGGUCAAUUUUGGGCUAGGGGGAGGGGAUGAUACGAAUUUCACCAUUUGAACUUCAAUUUCUCAAAUAAAUUCCCAAAUUGAGGUCCAAUUUCGACUUAGAAAAAUCCCAAGAAAUUCUCUAUAAAUCUCCGACACACACGGGCUCAACCCGAAAGUCAAAUUGCCCAUUAAUUUAGCCAAUCUGAACUUCUGCCAAAUUUCCGCGACGUCCGAACCCAAUUUCCGUAAAAUUUCCCGAAUCUCCGAAAAUCUUCUGAGACUGAGUCGAUGCUCUAAAAAUUUAUUGUGACAUGGCCAAAACUUCAAUUUCUGAAAUCGGACUCGAAUUGGCGGUUAAUUUUCAUUCGGCGCGUUUUUAGCGUGACCUAGACUAUCGGGUAGUUUUCAGAACUUUUUAAGGCAAAUGACCCGUGGUCGAUUUUCUUCGAGCCACUAUGAACCCACUCGACUCAAUGGCGACUCUUGAUUGUCGUGAAAAUCUCGAGGAUUCAAUUACGGACACAGGGUACCAAAACAAUGAGAAAAUCAGUCUAGUGUUGGCCGAUGAGAAUUUUCUAAUUCAGUGGUGUCACCCACGAUUAGUCACAUAUCUCUAUCGAUCCAGUCUAUCUCUGAUUUCAAAUCGAUUUUUAACUGUGCCGUAGUGACCUCUAAAGAUGGACACGAUCAAGAAGCCGAUUCCUGAUCGAGUUCUCAAGUCUAUUGCCGUAAAAUUCCUUAAUAAUUUCCCCAGAUAUUCUAGUUAUCUCGAGAGUGAUCGGCUCUGAGAAUAACCCUAUAGACGCGUCAAUGAAAUGCCCGAUUUAUUCAGUAGAAGACAGGGUUGAAAAUUUGGGAUGUCACAUCAGCACUCAAGACUCAAGACUCAAGACUAUUCUCAUUGACAGUUUUUUCUAAUCUAGUGACGAAGGCAAUCCAGAGCCGAAGUAUUUGGUUGAGGAUUUAGUCCUAUCCUCUGGAGAAGAUCUCUUGGCUGGAUAAAAAUAACGGAUUCUUUUAUUCGUAAUCAAGAUCGUUUGAAGAUCCGAUGGUCGACGAAAUAUUCUUGGAAGGUUCUAUUCUUGGAAACCAAGAUCCUGAUUGUAUGGGCGAAUAGGAUUGAUGGGCUAUCGUCAGGUUCCUUUAAUAGCUCGAAUGAUCUUCUUGAUUGAUUCCGUCCAACGGGUAGAUUGGAGGAAUUCCUUUGGUAAGUGCCAACGGGUAUGAUGGCAUAAAGGAGUAUAAAAGGAAGACGUUCUAGUUGCUUUAGUGCAUGACAGAUAGAGAAAUUCCAGAGUCUGAAGCACCUUGAUUAUUAGUCGAUACAUUUUGAGCGAAAUUGUAUACACAAAGAGUGUCUAUACUUAGUGAUAUCUUGAGCGUGUGUGGUAGAUCAUCUACACCGAGAAAUCAAGGGAGAACAACGCUGUAACAUCUCUUUGUUCAUAGUGGAAUCCAGCCAAUAGGCUGUCAGUGCAGAAGAGUAGACGUAGGCUUGAAAUAAACCGAACCACUAUAAACCGCAUGUUCAAUUUUCUCUUCUCUCAGUCUUACUUUGAUUAUUGUUUGUCUCAAAUCUAUCAACUGUCUAGUAUUGUGCAAUUAUCGAGAAAAAUCCUUUAUAUACCUAUUCACCCCCCUCUAGGUACUAUACUAGCUAUAUCAACCUUAAGUAAUUUAAGAUGUUGGUAAGGUUAAAUUCAGAUUCUACACAGAGGCCGACAAUACAUAAGCUUCCAGGCAAACUCAUCCUGUGCAAACUUUGAGAACCGGGACCAUCCCCAUUUUCUAUUGGCAAAUCAGCGCCUUUGCCUUCGACUUUAUCUUUCUUGGUCAAAGGAAGGAAACAAACAACUUCAGGUUCAAGGGACAAGCAAAAUUCAGGCUUGCGGAUGGGUACUUAGAGAGACAAUAGAAGCAAAUAUUCAUAAAUGGAAUUAAAAAAGCUGCAAAAUUUCGGUUGAGAUUUCUGAUUUAGUUGGUAAAUUCCUAAUGUCGUUGCUAAAAAUAUGCGGAUGGGGCUGCAAAAUUUCCAUGUUGGCGUUACAUACGCCAUGCUAAGUGGCUAUAUUGAAAACCUUAAAAUAAAGGGUAGACCUAGGUUACCCGGCAUGUGGACUGGGAUGUGGAACGAAAAAGGGAUUGUGAAACUGGUACUUGUCAAAAAUGUGGUACGAUAAAGGUGGACUUCUGUUGAGCAUGUGAUUAGGAUAAGACCUAAUUUUGUAGUUACAAUAUAGAUGAUAUAGGUCGUAUAAUGUGUUUCUAACAUAUUUGAGCCACUAAGUUUCAUGUUCACACAAGAAUUACUAUUUAUAAUUCAAUACAAAAAUAUUAUCAUGAAAUUAUAGUUUAGGUAAGUAAUAACGAUUAGUGUAUUAAAAUGUUCACAAUACUCAUUUACUUUAUGGGUAUGUUCUCAUCUCAUAGGAUGUCUUGUGCAACCGAGGUCUAAGUGCCUUGUGGGAGAUGUAUUCACGCAUCUAACAUAUUUAAUAAUAGUAGAGAAUCUAAUCUAUCGUUUUGGUUUUCAAUCAUAAUAAAAAGAGAAUUUACAUGUUCCUUUCUUCUCAUAUGAUAUCCUAUGCAUUUUGAAUCUACAUGCCGUGCAAAAAACGAAUGCAUGCAUCUAGCAUAUCUAAUAAUAAUAAAAAAUCUAAUCUACCACUUUGGUUUUCAAUCGCAAUAAAAAAAUAGUUUACAUGUUCCUUUCAGUCAAAGUUCGCGAAAAUGAAAGUCAAUGAAUAACUUACACGCCAAGUUCAGAAACUGUUGAUCACUUUUUAAAGUUCAUGAAAAUGAAAGUCCACAAAUAACUCCAAGUCAAAGUCAACAUUUAUGACUUUUUGAAUAAUCAUCACUUCCUUCAUCUUUAGAGCUACUCCAAUAUUCUUUUUAUUUUGGGAUAAGUGUAAUAAAAAUCCUAAAACUUGUCAUGAAAAUACAAUUAAGUUUUAUACUUACAAAAGUACAAUCAAGUUUAAGGGUGCAUUUGGGAAUGGCCAUAGGAAGGAGCUUUGAGUGUCCAAAACUCAUUUGGCCAAAUAUUGGGUGUCUGGUAAUAAUUUUGAAAGAUCAAGCCACAAAAGUGAUUUGUUAGGCUGAAUACAUGGGCAAAGCCCAAUAUAUGGAAGCACUUGAGAGAGUUAUGACAUGGUCCUCUUCUUGUGUCUCCAUCCAUUGUGGAAAUGUUGCUCCAAAUAAUUCCAAGUUGGAAAAUCGGCCACUUAGGAUCUGCCCUAAAAGUCAAGUAAAUUAUCGCUAAUACUUUAAGGCUAGACCUUACCUGGCGUAUGGACCGGUAUGUGGAAUGAAAAAGGGAUUGCGGAACUAUUACUUGUCAAAAAUGUGGUACGAUAAGGGUGGACUUCUGUUGAGCAUGUGAUUAGGAUAAGACUUAAUUUUGUAGUUACAAUAUAGAUAAUAUAGGUCGUAUAAUGUGUUUCUAAUGUAUUCGAGUCACUAAGUUUCAUGUUCACACAAGAAUUACUAUUUUUAAUUCAAUACGAAAAUAUUAUCAUGAAAUUAUAGUUUAGGUAAGCAAUAACGACUAGUGUAUUAAAAUGUUCACAAUGCUCAUUUUACUUUAUGGGUAUGUUCUCAUCUCAUAGGAUGUCCCAUGCGCCCAGGGUCUAAGUGCCUUGUGGGAGACGAAUUCUCGCAUCUAACAUAUUUAAUAAUAGUAGGGAAUCUAAUCUAUCGUUUUGGUUUUCAAUCAUAAUAAAAAGAGAGAUUACAUGUUCCUUUCUUCUCAUAUGAUAUCCUAUGCAUUCUGAAUGUACGUGCCAAGUAAAAAACGAAUGCAUGAAUCUAGUAUAUCUAAUAAUAAUAAAAAAUCUAAUCCCUCGCCUUGGUUUUCAAUCACAAUAAAAAAAGAGUUUACAUGUUCCUUUCAAUCAAAGUUCAUGAAAAUGAAAGUCCACAGAUAACUCUAAGUCGAAGUCAACGUUUAUGACUAUUCGAAUGAUCAUCACUUCCUUCAUCUUUAGAGCUACUCCAAUAUUCUUUUUAUUUUGGGAUAAGAGCGAUAAAAAUUUGAAAACUUGUCAUGAUAAUACAAUUAAGUCUUAUGCUUACAAAAGUACAAUCGAGUUUAAGGGUGCAUUUGGGAAUGUCCAUGGUUGAGUGUCCAAAGCCCAUUUGGCCAAAUAUUGAGUAUAUGGUAAAAUUUUUGAAAGAUCAAGCCACAAAAGUGAUCAGUUAGGGUAAAAACCUAGGAAAAGCCCUAAUAUAUAGAAGCACUUGAGAAAGUUAUGACAUGGUCCUCCUCUCGUGUCUCCAUCCAUUGUAGAAAUGUUGCUCCAAAUGAUUCCGAGUUGGAAAAUGGGCCACUUGGGAUCUGCCCUAAAAGUCAAGUAAAUUAUCUCUAGUACUUCAAGGCUAGACCUAGGUUACCCGGCGUAUGGACCAGUAUGUGGAACGAAAAAAGGGAUCGCGGAACUAUUACUUGUCAAAAAUGUGGUACGAUAAGAGUGGACUUUUGUUGAGCAUGUAACUAGGAUAAGACUUAACUUUGUAGUUACAAUAUAGAUAAUAUAGGUCGUAUAAUGUGUUUCUAACGUAUUUGAGUUACUAAAUUUCAUGUUCACACAAUAAUUACUAUUUUUAAUGCAAUACAAAAAUAUUAUCAUGAAAUUACAGUUUAGGUAAGUAAUAACGAUUAGUACAUUGAAAUAUUCACAAUGCUCAUUUUACUUUAUGGGUAUGCUCUCAUCGCAUAAGAUGUCCCGUGCACCUGAGGUCUAAGUGCCUUGUGGGAGACGAAUUCAUGCAUCUAACAUAUUUAAUAAUUGUAGGGAAUCUAAUAUAUCGUUUUGGUUUUCAAUCAUAAUAAAAAGGGAGAUUAUGUGUUCCUUUCUUCUCAUAGGAUAUCCUAUGCAUUAUGAAUAUCCAUGUCGUGUAAAAAACGAAUGCAUGCAUCUAGCACAUUUAAUAAUAAUGAAAAAUCUAAUCUAUCGCUUUGAUUUUCAAUCGAAAUAAAAAAAGAGUUUACAUGUUCCUUUCUGUUAAAGUUCACGAAAAUGAAAGUCCAUGUAUGCAUGCCAAGUUUUUGAACUUACACGCCAAGUUCAAAAACUUUGAUCACUUUUUAAAGUUCAUGAAAAUGAAAGUCCACGGAUAACUCCAAGGUGAAGUCAGCAUUUAUGACUUUUCAAAUUAUCAUCACUUCCUUCAUCUUUAGAGCUACUCCAAUAUUCUUUUUAUUUUGGGAUAAGUGCGAUAAAAAUCUAAAAACUUGUCAUGAUAAUAUAAUUAAGUCUUAUGCUUACAAAAGUACAAUCAAGUUUAAGGGUGCAUUUGGGAAUGGCCAUGGGAAGGAGUUUUGAGUGUCCAAAGCCUAUUUGGCCAAAUAUUGGGUGCUUGGUUAAAUUAUUGAAACCCAUCUUGAGAGAAAGUUUGCCUUUAAAAAGGUGAAAGCCUAAGGUAGGUUCUAGGCUUCCUUGGGCUUUUAGCAUUCUUGAAAGGCCCUCUCAAGGGUUUAGUAUAUAAAUUUUGUUCCAAAACUAUCCUCACUCAAUUUUUAUCUUUUUGUUUUUGGCCUCGUGAUUCAUUGUUCAUCUUAUUCUCCAUUGAGUCGGUUGGCUUGGUUGCGUGUGGCUGCGAUGGGUCGGUGAUAGGCUAGAGAGAGGUUGAUGUGGUCACGGCUAUCCUGGCGAUCGUCACUUGCCAGUUGCACGACCUCUACGAGUUGCAGUGACCCCCCACAAAUCGCGUCAUUGUGACCCAAAUCUAGUGCGUCACCUUUGUGAAGGGCCGCUUGAGGUCACGCGACCAAGCAGACCUUGUUGAGGUCGCACAACCUCCGGCGACCUAGAUUUGGGUCACAUGACCCCUUGCUAGUCACGGCGACCAAAAUCUAGAUCUCACGGCCUCCGUGAAGGUCACUUGAGGUCGCAUGAUCAGUUGACCCUCAUUGAGGUUGCAUGACCCCAGGCGACCCUCGCCGAUCAUCUCUUAUAACCUUAGAUGUCGAUUGCCAACAACAAAUUUCAAUCACCGGCGACCCCUUGCCCUUGCUGGCCAACUUUUUUAUUUUUCUUUUGACGAAUUUUUUUUAAUUACAAAGGUUCUUUAUAAAUAUAAUCUCUCCAAAUAUUAUUUUGCUUAAAAAGUACUUCACAAUGGAUUUUCAGAUUACAAUUUAACAAAUACAAUUUACAUUUUAGAAAACUUUUUUUUAACUUAAAGUCCUUUACAUUUUCUCAAAAACUUUUCCCCUAAGUCCAACGACACACCCUAAAACUUAUCAACUUUAGGUAGUCAAGUCCUUCAGUUAACUUCGGUCAAUUUGGCUAAUGAAAAAUGUUGGCGUGACUUCUUUUUAAUAUUUCCUAUCUCAUAAGUGGCGACGACAUGAUUAAAAUAUAAAACAUAAUGCUAAAAUGAUGUCAAUCUGAUUUUUAAUACAAAUUUCAUUUAUAAUAAAUUAAAAAUAAGCUAAAUUGAAAUCCUAAUUCUGCUAGCCGCCACGCGAUGAACGUCGUCCCAUCCUCGUUCCACGAAAUCAAAUCGUCCACCGACGGAUCAUUCAUGAGCAUGUAAGUCUUCCUGAGAAACGGAAGCGACCUCUGGGAGUCGCCAACUACUGGCGAAUCCCCGGUCUGCUCCCCCGGCAUCGGUCCCCAUGGGUGCCUCUCAAAUUCCAAGCCCCAAGACACCUGGAGAGACUCCGAACCGGACGGUAUCUAUUCGGGUCAGCUCGUGGAUGAUGCUGUAUUUUACGCUGAACCACAAAAUCAAUGCACACGAAGUAUCCUCCCGCCAAUUUGAUUAAGAAAAAGAAAAACCGAAAAAGAGAAUAAAAGAAACUAUUCCUCCAUCUAGUGAUGUUCGUCCUAUGCGAGAAUUAAUAAAACAAAUCCUUUUCGUGUCCCUUGCCUUGAAGCAACAUAUAGAGCAUUAAAAUUGAUAAAAGAGAAUAGGACAAAUGAAAAUACAGGCUACCUAGGAUAGUGGAACGAACGUCGUAGAAAAAGAGCAUAUAAUGCAGUGAAGAUGCGAUUAAAAGGAGAAUAAGUGCCACUAGAACAACAUGACCUGGAAAGGGCAAUCGAAAGCCUUGAUGUUUUAUUUGAUAGAACCAUGUCAAACGCUUGGGGCUUUGAGUGUAAGAAAUUUGGUGGGGGAUCAAUAUCUUGGGAGNNNNNNNNNNNNNNNNNNNNNNNNNNNNNNNNNNNNNNNNNNNNNNNNNNNNNNNNNNNNNNNNNNNNNNNNNNNNNNNNNNNNNNNNNNNNNNNNNNNNAAAAGGGUGGUGGGGGUUCGGGUAUGACAAAAACACCUGGGGCACGGCCCAUUCUUCUUAACCAUUGUUUCCCCCCUCUUUUUUUUUUUUUUUUCUCUCUCUACGAUCAGGAUGCUCUGGGUUUCUGACGUCUUAUUCGUCAACCCCACCGCUUUCCUUUGAAUUCCCAACUCAAUUUAUAUUUAGGGGAGCUUGAUGUGGUCUGCACAUUCAUCUCUCUCUUUAUAGCCCAAGGUUAAAGGUAUUGGAGAAGGACGGACUCAUCUAGAAUUUUGUUAAAUGCAGAGCCUCCUCCUGGGAUCUGAAUGAGGCCGGAAACUCCCCAAGCAAGCCUCCUUCCACUCUAAUUGGGCUGUGAUUUCUUGCCCAACUCGACAACUAUAUGUUUUCCAGAGGAAGACUCGACACAUCGUGUAGGCAUGUGAAGAGGCACUUCUUUUUUUCUAGUGUUUCCCAUGGAAAUUUUGUGCAGCCAGCAGUUUACGACGACUAAAAAGAAAGACAAACGUGGGAAAUUUCCCGAACAGAACCGUGCUUCCCAGUGGCGAUAUGUUUUGAACUGCUUCAGAGCAUCUCUUUAGUUGCAGAGGCAAAUGUGCUAGAAAAUCCACCAUGUUCAGGUAAACGUAAGCAAUUUAAGAUGGUGAAUGCAGGUAAAACUAAAUUUGAUAAAGCAACCAGAAUUUUAUCUUUAUGUAAGGUUAAAUUCAGAUUCUAUAUAGUCGUUGAAAAUACAUAAGCUUCCAUGCAAAACUCAUCCUGUCCAAACAUAGGAACCCGGAACUAUCCACAUUUUCAAUAGGCAAAUCAGCGCCUUCACCUGUGACUUCAGCUUCCGAAGGAUAUAUAAAAAAAAAAACCAAANNNNNNNNNNNNNNNNNNNNNNNNNNNNNNNNNNNNNNNNNNNNNNNNNNNNNNNNNNNNNNNNNNNNNNNNNNNNNNNNNNNNNNNNNNNNNNNNNNNNCGCCCCGUGGAAAGAGUAUGCCAACCCACUCAAAGUCGAGUAAUCCUUUCAACAUUUUCGCCCCCAUACGAAAUUCCUGAAUCUCACGACUUUUACCGGGUCGUAAGAAACUACCCCUCUAGAUAAAUUCUAUUUCAAAUUAUUUUGGUAAAUGUUGUUAUAGCUUACAUAUUACACAAGACUCCUGGUAUAAAUACAAAGGUUCUAGUAAUGUUGUGAUAAUGUCAAUAAUCUCCAAAAAGUUGGUAAUUUAUAAUUUUGUCAGAAUGUUAGUAAACUACUUGUAGUGCUGGUAGUUGAUAGACUGCAGUUGUAAAACUUGAGAAAACUUGGUAAAAGACUAAAUCAAUUAGGAGAUUGGUCAAUUCAUAGUGGUAUAAAACACCACUUGCGAAAUUUAAAGAAGUUCAGGAGUUAGUAUUGGAAUAUUAGUAUAUUUAUUAUAUCAAGGGUAAAUCAGCGGCGAUACUUGUAGAAUUUAGUUCUUUGUUUGGUCAUUCCUAAAAUUCUUGCAAGAAAAUUAUCGGUCACAGUUGUUUACCAAGAAUAUUGGGAAAUUACAACCAAGGCGAAAAUUUUCUAGUUUUGAAUCCGUUUGCCUACUUCCCUACCUGUCCCCUCAUCAUAUAAGAAUUGGUGGCCUGUCGAUGUUGAGGCCCAUUUAAAUCUGUCCGAACCAGCACUCAUUAACGGGGAAAAGAAGUCAAGUAGAAAUCAUAUUUAGGCUGAAAAGAGAGAGACAGCAGAAAGCAACGUUUGGCCUAGAAGAUAUAGUAGAAGGAGUGGUGUUUUGAGAAUAGACCUCACAAAGUGCUAAUUACAUUACCUGAAUAAGCAAGCUCAUGGAAAGGAAGAGAUCAUAUGAGCACAAGUUCUAAGUACACCCAAAAUGAAGAGCUAAAGGCAGGAGAGAGAGCACGAGAUUGCUCAUUUCUUACGUGCUUCUUAAUAGUUUCAAUCUCCUCAACUUGGCUACCUUUACUACUAUUGCCACACAUGCCUUGUGUGCUGCUUGAUCCACAAAACUAAAAUCUGCCCAUCUCCAAUCCUUCUUGAACUGCAAAACUCUGAAAAAGUCCUAGAACUCAAUUGCAAAUCCAAGCAUUACGAACGCAUAGAACAAUGCCCUAUCAAGCUUAUCCUCUUCAUAUGUAUCUUCAGAAUGAGAGACUUGCUGUGGUUGAGGCAUCUCGACACUAAGGCAUUUUUUUCUCAGAAGAUUACCAUAGAGUAGAGGAUUGCCAACAUAAAUAGAAGGAUGGUCGAGUGUUUGGAUUUGAUUCCCUUUUGGAAUCUGCCCCAUAAGGUCAUUUUGCGACAGAUUGAGGUGGGCUAGGGAUUUUAACACUAAAAUGCCCUGUGGAAUUAUCCCUAAGAGAUGUUCGUUUAAAAGAUCAAUAGACUUGAGUGACCUCAUAUUCCCAAUGCCAAUGGGAAUAUCUCCAAAGAGAUGGUUGUGAGACAAGUUCAAGCCAUGCAAUCCCGAGAGGAAAGAAAGUUCUUCGAGGAUUGACUUGUUCAGAAAGUUGCUAGAGAGAUCCAAAUUGAUCACAAGUUGCAGAAAAUUUUUGGUGUACUCAUUAUAUUUUCCCUUCAAGAUCUCAACCACAUGCUCUUGAUCCCAAUCUGGAUCUUCGCCUUCAAAUGUGAAGGAAAUUAUAUCUUGCAUAGGAGUAACGACCAUAGAUCCAAAUGGAUUGCCUUGAUUCAAGUUGAUCAUGCUGCUCGUAUUGCUAAGACAAUGUGGGAUCAUUCCCAUCAAAUUGUUUACUAGCCACGUUUAAUAUUUUCAAUUUUGAUAGUGAGCAAGGCUGUGGAGGAUACUGUCGACAAACUUUUUCUCUCGUAGCCUCAAGAUCAACAAGGAUGGAAAGCCUUCGUCAAACCACAUUGGAAUGCUUCCAAACAAAUUAUUCUCUCCAAUGUCUAAAAUCACUAGAUCUGUGUAAUAAUAUAAAGCCUAAGGAAGCUCCCCGUUGAGACAGUUUUCGUUCAAGUGUAGGGUGGUAAGGUGGGGGCAAUGAUCCAAGUGAGCUAGGAAUUACUCCAAACAACUUAUUGAAUGACAAAGUCAAGAAUGAUAAAAAAAAAAAACCCUUCCAAUAGUCUGGAAUAUUGCCAAAUAGGUUAUUAUUGGCAAGAUUUAAAUCAAACAACUCCAUGUUGCAUAAUGAUGACAGUAGAGUACCAUUGAUUAGGUUAUCAUUGAGAUAUAGAGUAUGUACUUGGUACAUGAUACCGAUAUCUGUUGGAAGAGAUCUAGAGAUCAAGUUGUGGAAGAGAUCUGAAUAGGAACAGUUAAUAAACAUGUUGGGCAAGGGUGUAGUAAUCUGACUCUAGGAUAGAUCGAGCUGGGAAAAUGUCAAGUUGGCCGACCAUUUAAACAAGGGCCUAGUAAUCUGAUUGUAAGAUAGAUUGAGUUGGUAAAACAACUAUUUUGGAAAGGGCUCAACAAUUUGAUUGUAAGAUAGAUCAAGCUCGGAAAACAUCAAGUUGGCUAAACAAUUCAGCAAGGGCCCAAAAAGGAGCACAUUGGUGAGUGUGAUAUGUACAGCUUCCGCUUGUGUCUAAAUCCAUCGGGGAAAUUUUGUUCCAAAUUUAUAAGAGUUCAUCGAAAUAAUUACCAGUUGGAAAGGGGGUACCCAGCAGGGUUUUGCCUCAAAACUCAAGUUAGUAUUGUCACCAAUGUACAACUCCAUGAGCCUUGACAAAUUAGGAAAAUAGAUUUCAGUAAUCACACUUUCAAAAUAAUCACUUUUAAGAUACAAGUGUUACAAAGCUCCCAAUUCCCCUCAUGACUCAGAAUAUGCCCUACCAAUUCAUUAUAGGAAAGAUCUAACUAUCUCAAUGACGACAAUCAACCUAUUGAUGGUGGAAUGGUCCCAUUCGACCCACUAACUGAAAGAUCUAGUGUUUCCAAGUUUGACAUUGAUCCGAUGACACUACGGAUUAAACAGGAGAAGAAAUUGUUGAAAAGCAUAAUACUUUUUGAGUUUGUGAAGUGGUCCAACCAAUCAGGUAGAGCACCCUUAACAUGAUUUGAAGCCCUUCAAAAUCCCAAACUAGGCUUGCUAAUGGUACUGUGUUCUGUUUACAAUGACAGUUGCCUGCUUCAUAUAGCAAACUCAGAUAAUCAUGACUUGGCAAGCCUACCUAGCCAACAUCUUUCGCCCCAUAACUGGAAGGAAUUCACUGGGCCAAUAGAGAAACUCAUGGCCUCAAGAUUUUUUUGUAGAACCCACAAGAAACUGUACAAAGAAGUCACCUUGGAGAAUUGAGAACUUGAAGACUGAUAUACCAGACAGUAUUCCACUUACAGCCACUCCCCAUUUACUUAACUAAAAGCCAGACCAGCGGUAGAACCUGCACUGUAGUAUAAUGCCACAUUGCAAAUGAAGCUGCUAAUUUAAAAACCAAAGACAUUUGGCAAACUCACAGUCAUCAAGAAAUCCAAGGUCCUUGCUUUGCUUAUAACAAUUGUUGGUUGGAUAAUCAACCUCGGGCUCCAAUACCAGUUGAGAAAAUGGUAAGCAUUUAGUGGUGACACACUCAUCCAAAUGCCGUCCUCCUAACCGUAAGGUCUUGCUCUUAUCAUGGCCUUUACAUACAGAGGAC